RNAcentral lists this long non-coding RNA (74582 nucleotides) under Xyrichtys novacula (pearly razorfish). The record is from RNAcentral. Lineage: Eukaryota; Metazoa; Chordata; Actinopteri; Labriformes; Labridae.
AAAAUGAUCCGCCAUUUGAAAAGUUCCCUGACUUAUCCUGUAGAUGGCGCAGUGACCUCAUGACAAUCUUCAUCCACUAACUACCUCACAGCACAGCAGAGUGACAGAUCUGAAGCAGGCAGCUCAGGGACGCACGGAGGAGAGUGGUCCACCUCAACGGUAAAUAAACCAGUUUGUGAAAUACACAAUAAGUCAACAAGUUUCAGUUCAACCCACUUCACGAUGUUCCCCGCUGUGCUGGUCUCAGUCACGCCGAGUUAACGGUGAAUCACCAUGUAAUAUGCAAGCUAAAGUUAGAGUUAGCCAUCUGCUAUUAGCCUUGCUACACCGUUAGCCGUGCCAGUAACUGUAGAAUAAACAAAAGUACACAUUACGUGAUCGAGCUACUUCUCUUACUGAGGCAGCUGCAUGUCUCCAGAUGAGACCGGACCGGAAAUAAGUAACGAGAGUUAAAACGUGGGGGUACCGAUCGGCUGGGGUGGGAUUAUAAUUGAAAAUGCUUUUCUGGUCCAAGUUUCAUGAGUUGGUCUUCCUGUCGGCAGGAAGAGCACUAUACAGUAUCUACAGUGCAUAUAUAUUUUUCAUAAGUUCAUAAAAAAAUUAAAAAUCGGCCAACUAAUUGGUAAUCGGAUCUUUUGCCCCCCUAAUAAUUGGUGUCAGCAUCGGCCCCAAAACGUCCAUAUCAGUUGGGCCCUAGUAAGAAGCGUGUACAACACACUCAAUCUGAAGCGAAACACUCUCAAAAUUAACUAUGCACAACUCUGUGACUCAGCCCCCAAGUUGUUGUGUCAUCUUUUUGAGGAUUCAGAAUAUGGUCACCUUAUUUAAGCCCGAAAAUACUGCAAAAAAGCAUAUCAAAUGAGCUCAUUUUAAAGCGAUGCCAGCAACAUGGCAAAAACGAAUAAUAAAGGUGUUUUAGUUUUAAAAAAACAAAAAGUGCCCGAGUGUCUCAAAUCAAACAACUUGCUUUUAUGCAGAGCUUCAAAUAGUCAACUGUCUCAUGUUGUGGUACUGUUUGUGUUUGCUGUGGUUCUCUGCUUUUUUCCUCUCCCUCUUCUGUUUCUUCAAGUGCUGCUUUGUGCACCUGGUAAUGAUUGAGUUCACCUGUAUCCACUUACCAAUCAAGUACAGAGUAUAACGAGUAGAGAAGAAGAGGCAGCCAAUGCCAAUUACAGGGACAAGGACAAGUAUCUACCUCGUUCAAGUCCCGCCAAACUUUAAUUUGGCAAAAACCAACAUGGAUGUCUGUAUUUGAGACAUUUUAUUGCAGGAAAGAAAAGACUAUAUUGAGUCAGCGCCACAUGAUAACUUGAGUUAAUCCAAAAGUUUUGUCAACUUUGUGUGAAAACACAAGAAGCGAAAUGAUCAGAGGACCAGUUCUCAGCAGGAUUUCUGGCGAGCGAAAAGCAUAAAGGCAAAAGUCGAGAUGAGAGGAAGAGACAACGAGAUGAGUGACGAACACAAACUGAGGAAGUUGUGUUGAAAAAGUGGUAUAAGGUUGGACAGACUCAGUAGACUGGUGAUAUUUCCAAACAAAAGACUUUCCUGCGUGCAAAGCCAAAGGAUGGUUUGAACAUAUCACAACUGUUAUCCAUCGUAUCUCCACUUGUGUCUUUUUCCGCCUAAGCUUAGCUAUUCUAGAUGCUCUAGAGAUUUUGGCUAUUUCGGUUUGACGCAGCUGCUGUUGGUGGUUACAAGAUUUGGCCGGUUUGGAUCAGAGGUUCGCCAUAAGCCUUUCCACGCCAACAUAAACAUGCUCGCCUUGAAAUUGAGCAGAUGUGUGUGCGGAAAGAAAAAUUGCGAACUUGUGUUUUGGACAAAUGGAUCCACGCCAUACUCAGAGUUACUCCCACCAAGAGCCGAGAAAUAACAGAGGUCAUAAUGAGAAAGUUUAGGGUCACAGAAGAAGAGGUCUUGAUGUAUGUAUAUUUUACAGUUUGAAUUAAUUUGAUUUAUUUUAGAUUCUUCAGGCGAGAGUGAACUCAAACUAGAUUCAACUACUCAAAUACAAGCCACUUGUAAUCUCAACAGUUGAGUUAAAUGUGCAAAAAAAAGUGGUUGAUAAUUGCGUUUAAAAAUGUAAUAGGUAAUGCAAUGAUUACAUGUAACUGUUAAUGGAUUAUAGAGUUUCUUUGUGUGAAAUGUGAUCGGGUUAUUGUUUUAACCAACACCUAAUAUGUGAAAUUUAAACUAUGUUGAGAUAGUAUGAUGAUGUGGCAGUCAAGCAUCUUAACUCAACAUUUGCAUGCAAUAGGUUGCCAAUGAAAUAAUGGUUUCUACUACCUGCCAUUGACUUCAAUCAAUAUUUAACCCUCAGGGGCUCUUAGGACAUUUUUGUCCAUUUUUGGUGACUUUUUUCCUUUCUUUUGUUGAUCAUUUUGGCUGUGUUGAUACAAACAGGACGAUUUUUUUCUUUCCAAAUUUUCAAACCUGACCACCCAUUUUUGGGCAGGAAUUUAUUUUUUUUAAAUGAUUUUUCUAUCAAUGUCUAUGAUGUGCCAGUUAUUAACAACAACAUAAAUUUUGAUACAUUAUUAUGUUUGAUGUCUUGUCCGAUUUCUAAAAAAAUUACACUUAGGUCUAUCUGAAUAAAUCUCUUAGUUCAACUGUUCAAGAGAAAUACAUCAAACAUAACAAUUCAUCAUAAUUAAUGUUGUUGUUAAUUAUUGGCAUACCAUAGGCUGCCAAAUAAAUAAAAUAAAAUAAAAUAAAAUAAAUUCCUGCCCAGCAUCUAAUAUAUGGAAAAUAACUCCAAAUUUCUGCUUUUCCCAUUAAAAAUAACAGUGACAUCAUGUAGUCAAACUGGCAUUUAAAGGGUUAAAAUUCUGAAAAUGAAUUAAUAUUUGAUAGAUAUGAUCCGGAAUGAAGUUGAUUAAAUAUUUAAGCAAAAAUGGUGGAAAAAAUAUUAAUGUAUGAUAAUUUUAUAGCACUUUUAGGAGAUGGACAUUUUUGUCCAUCUAAGGACCUAAGUGUAACUUUUUUUCAAGGAGCCCAGAGGGUUAAUACAACUAAUUUCAACACGCUUCUGCAUAAUCAUAACAUUUCUUUGGAUACAUACUGCUAAAAUCUACAUAUUGUACCUUUAAUGUGGGCAAUGCAGGCUUCAUAUGUCUUCCAGCUUGACUGAGCAUUAUGUUUACACAAAUAUGAAACAAUAAUGAAAGUGAACAGUAACAGGAAAAAAGUCUUCACACAGCUUUGAGGUUCCCCUGGUGGGAGUUGUGGGGGAAUCAAAGAGCAGGAUGUGCUUUCUCUCCUGUUCGAUAACAAACACUUCAUCUCAAUGAGGUUGACUUCAGUAAACAUUGACUAAAUUACAAAUUCUGGCAAAGGAGGCAGCGGUGACUCAGCUCAGUCUUUGUCAUCAACUGAUGGAGAAGGAACCAGUAAAUUAAGGCGCCGUCAGUCUCAGGGAGCCGAGUCGCAGUCAUCAAUUCAUUAUCACCCACAUCCCAAGAACAAAACAACCUACGCUGUUAAAUAUUUCUGACUUAAGACACUUGGGUGACUAAAGCGGAGUUAUGCAACAUGUCUAAGUGGUGAACCCGCUGGAAGAGGAGCGUGGAGGGAGUCGAGAGUCAAAGUUUACUCUCCUGCAAGGGGCCCGGAAAAAGACUUGAUGGUGUAAUGGAGGACGAAGAAGACUUUUGGACGCAGAUUGUUUGUGAAGAGAGGCUUUCAGUUUUAGAUACAAGGUCGUCCCCUGAUCCUUCCAACCCUGUUUACUCAUGCCUUGAGUAUAUCAGUGCCAGUGUGUGUGUGUGUUUGUGUGUGUUUGUGUGUGUGUGUGUAGUUUGCGGGGGUGAUGAGUGAAUGUUUUUGUGUGUGUCACUUUGGUUACUCAUGGGACCAGAGGUUCUUUCAGAGACAGACAGCGUUGACUCGGCUCGACAAACUUGGACACUCACACACACAUGAGCGCAAACGCAGAUUAAUCUUCGUCAAGACUGGCAGGGCCUGCGGACAACUUGGGGACUAUUUUUUUUUUUAUGUGUGGGUGGAAGGACGUGAAAGGGACAUGUAAUCAGAACUCACAACGUGACUAGUCAGAUGAAGAUUUUUCUAAAUUUGUGUGACAUUUAAAGAUCUCUAAAUUUGAUUGAAAAUUAUAAUUUCAGAACUAACGGAGGCAGAUGUUUGACAAAAUAGACUUUUAAUUAUUUUGCUUUAUUUAAAUUUAUUGCAAAAACAUAGGGGGCAAAAAAGUUUCUUAUUACAAGAAAUUCAGGUCCGAUUUUUUGAGAAAAUUAAAAUAAGACAUUUUUCUGGAUUUAUCAGAUAAAUACAACAAAGACACUUCACGAAAACACUUCAAGAUUAUCCUCUGCCAAAGGUCCUUACACACAGGGAACGAUGCAAAUAUACGACCUGAAAUUACAAAAUAUUCAGAGGUGAAUUUUGACGCGCCUUACUAUACACAUCAAGCACGAUGCAAUUUUGCAACUUUUCGGAGGGAAAAAAGACGCGUCCUGGGUGGAAGCAAAAAGACUGACACAACAGCAGACUGACUGUAUUUCAGUUCUGAUUAGACACUAGUGUUGAGAUGUCUGUCUGUCAUGAUAGCAUGUACUGAGUCGGGGCCAGUACCAGAUAAGCACAUUAAACUAUAAUCCAUAAACGUAAGGUAACAACCAAGACCUAAUGGUGCUGUGACAGCAACGAGAUUGAGUUUGAGACAAUGAAAAUACAUAUGGUAUGUUGUAUCUGAACAGGUUAGCUUACGAGCUAAAGUUACUUAGCACAGAUGAAAGUUAAAACAAAGACGUUUAGCAAACUGUUCAAGCACACAAACCAUCGUCAUAUGAGAAAUCCGACACUAUGACUCUCCACAAGUUGUCCUUCAGGUCGUUAUCUUUGUAAUAUUUGUGUUUUUUAUCAAAAAGCACUCUGUUCUCCGACACGUAAACAAUCAGACGGUCGGCCAUGUUGGAUAUGCUGGUGAAUCUGACGUCGCAACAACAUGCAAUCUGAUUGGUCAGAGGUGGACACACAGUAUGCAAAACUUUAAAAAAUUUGACCGUGAUACCAAAAAAUAAAUGCCGCAAUAUAGCAGGACGGGGAAAUGUCACUGAUGUUAACGCUUGUAUUGACAGGAUACAGGUUUGAAAAAAAACCUUUUACCUAUACCGGCCAAGUAGUUAUUGAGUAUGAUUAAAAAAUAAACUAUUGUAGCUCUUUUUUUUCCACUCGUUUUGACUGACAGGUUCACUUUCUCUGUUUCUAGGGCAACCAAAGGUUUGGUUAUGCCAGUGUUUCUUUCAUGGCUGCCUUUUUUCAGUUCUUAAGUCAAAUAAGUGGCAUUUUUGGAAACUCAAGUGCAGUGCUGCCUGAUUUGUUGUUUACCAGACACUGCUGUGAAAGGGUCAAAAGGAUUCCUGCGACUUUGCAAAGCAAGACAACUAACAAACUUUCAAGAGACUCCAUUUCAAGUAUGUCAUGAGAUUCCUCAAGUGGACUGUUUUUUUUACAGACUUGUUCUUUUUCUUCUUUUUAACAAAUAACCAAGUGAUGCAAUUUUAUGUAUCCCUGUGAUCCACGAACAAGAGUGACUUCAUGUCCAUCCAGAGGGGUUUAAUUGGCUUUGAGUGCAAACAUGAGAAAAUCCUGUCCAAGUUUGUUGCUUUGAGGAUACCUUGACAGGACCACCACCUAGCAAGCAUAUAAAGCUUUUUCUUUCUUCAUGGGAUUCACUGUUGACCGAGAUCUGAACAUGUUUGAUGGUUUUUAUCAAGGGUGAAUAAUCACAAGGAAUGCUGAGAUUAUUAUAAGAGCAGAAAUUCCUCAAAGUAAACUUGAAAUAUCGACAAGGACGCCGAUUUCAGUUUUUACCUCUAGACUUUGCAGAAAUAACGUAGAAAGAAUUUUGAAAAUUGCAAAUAACUUGACAUAUUUUUGAACAAACCAAUUAAAUAUUCAGUGAUGACCUUGUGUUGUGGAUCAAAUGUUCGAGUGUAUGGGAAUAAAGACUAUUUUCACUCCCUGUGAACUCAUGUGCCCUGAAGAUGGUGUCACAACGAUUUGUAAAGACUUGGAAAAGGACUGACGGUGUGCCUUCGAGUGUUUAAAAGUGUAUUUAUCACUGACUAGGCUGCUGUUUGGGAUAUCUGUCAGCUCUGAAAGGUACGACACAUAGUAGUUAUACCUCAAACUUAACACUUAAGAACUCUGCUGGAUCGCCGGUGAUCCCAUGUGACACCAUUAAUAUUGUUUACAGUUUCUUAGGAACUAUACCGUUUAUCUCUAUGGGAUAAAAAGUUCAAAAGCUUACCCUUUUGGCGAUCUAUCGAGGGUUUCCAGGCAUUUUUACACCUUCCACAAGGUUUACAACCUAGCCACAAAAAUAAGUGUUUGAUCAAAGACAUUUGAUGGUAAAUCUGCAGUGAUAUACCGGUGAAAACAUGAUUAUUUAUCAUAUUGUUGUGAUAGAAUAAGAUCGCUAUCGCUAAAUGCCACUGAUGUCUUCCAGGUUUGACAAGCUGUUUUGAUGACAUCUUUUUUUGUCAACUUUGCGACCAAUGCCAUGGUCUCAUAUUCUUCUUCUAUUGUUCCCUUGAUGGUAGUGUCCAAUAAGAGGCAACCAAAGAUCAACAAGAGACAAGAAAGUUCCCUGCUUGUAUACAAAGUGAGAAAUAAUGGUCCUCAAUGCUUGGAAACGAGCAAAAAAGAGAUUAUGAGCAGUAUGAUGUGACCCUCUGUCUCAUCCCAGACAGGAACUACUUCAAGGAGUGACAUAAACAACUGGAAAUAGCAAAAAAAACACCUGUAAGAAUUAGUGUAAAUAUGUAAAUAGUUCCUGUUGUGUGUUUGUUCCAAUCCCAAUAUUUCUUCUCCUGAUAGCCAAGACUUGAGAGAAUGAUGUGACGGUGAGAAAAGGCUUGGUCACUGUAGAUUUUUGAGCAAAGUACUGUUGGUAUCAAUUUCCAUUUUUGUUUUUUGGUUGACUUUUAUGAUUCUGAAUCUACUGUCACAUUCAUUUUACAUAACUUUGCACCCAUAAACUGACAGCUGAGGUUUUUGCUAUUUGCUAUGCUUAAAAAGACAGAGUUGCAACAUAGAUUUUUACAAAAAAGGCGAACAAAAAAUAGCAAAAUAUAGCUGGGAGUUCUGAGGGUUAAGGUUAUCAGUAAGUAGAAGACAUUAGCCUUUCAUUUCACCCCUGCUUUUAAAGACAUGCUGUUUUCAUUAAAAUACAUAGCCGAGGUGUACCUCAAGGUUCUGUACUUGGACCCCACACUUUUUACUAUCUGCACGUUCCCUCUUGCUUUAUGACUAACCACAGAUGCCUCUAUUUAGUGUCCAUUUCCAAUUCUAAACAUAGUGGACUAUAAUCUAGAUUUGCUUCUGCAUAUCUGCGUUCCUGUUCAUAUUUAUUCUCCUCUAGGUGUAGCUUUUAACUUGACACAUGUCUGAAUUUCCACUUUCUCCGUCUGUUUGUAUUUUAAUUGAUUUUUAAAACUAAUGAGGUCGUUUGUGUUUCAUCAGCAUUUCAUUGCCAUAUGUACGACUGCAGACAGUAAAUAUGCAGAGAUUUAUAGCGUUGCAGUUCAUUGUGCUCGGAGCUUAUUGAAUAAAUUGCAGAAUUACUAAUACAUCUAAAUGACUCACAGGGUCCUAAAGAAGUGGCUUUAUUACCUCGACUGUAUUUGAUUGAUGGUAAACAGAUGAAUUGAAAAUAGUCACACUAAAUGUUGUGUUAUCUACCAUUAGAGAUUUUUACAGUCAUUACAUAUUGAUUGUGUCGUCUUGCACACUGUUUACCCCUUGUGUUCGGCUCAAUAUGUAAGUACCUAACAAGUAACAAAGCUCCUUUGUAAUGGAAUAAUGAAGUCCAAUGGCUGUGAUGUGUAGAUAUGAGGAAAAAUGGGGUGAUAUUUAAGUGUGAGACAAGGAUAUAAUUGCGCCACAGUCGCUACCUGCAGAACCAGAUGUGGCUGGUUAGAAGAGAUAGAGCCUGUCAUGAUAUUAGCUUUUCACUUCACAAGUACCAAGGCCAAAAAAUGAAUGAAUGAAUAAAUCGUUUUACCAAAAUGCCGAUUUAGGCCUGCAUGCACUCCUGUGGAUUAAGUCCAAAAUUUGUUUUCAUGUGGCCUCAGAUUUAUCCACGGCACGCAGGAGUGAUGUUUUCGCUGCGCUGUUGAAAUACUGAUCGGCAUAGAUUGAGAAAAUUCCUCCAACUCAGAAAAUUCAGGGACACAGCAGAGGAAUUGAAGACCUUCUCCACCUGUCGAGGGUGAAUUGGUCUAAUGGUGAUCACAUCUGGUCAGGUCGGACUGACCUAAAUAACAAGACUGAGAUCUAGAGGAGAAAUAAAGCAGGUUUAGCAAUUUUGGAAUCAACAUCAGAGUUUCAACUGUGAGGGGUAUAUUUCUUAUCUUGUCCUGUCCUGAACUCUGUUUAACAUGUAAAUUAUGUUCACUGUGUCACAUAAUGUAGUCGAUGUGUACAUGACUCUGCGUGAUACAAUAUGUGAUCAUGCAACUCUUACCCCAGGAUAUAUUAAACAUUUGAUAUCAAGGACUUUAUUCUCAACCUCUGACUGGAUAUUUGAAUACAUUUACACGGUAUGUAAGCGCAGCUAAAUUUACAUAUAGAAGAGAUAGUCGUUUAACAUAUGCAAACCCCCCAAGCCAACCAGUACACUGAGCCACAGAAGUAGAAACUGGAACAAUACAAGCUGUAGAUGACGGCAGGGAUCAGUACACCACUGCGAGGGUUUAAUAAUGUGUCAUAUCUCUCGUACGGCUGAGUGUGAGCUUUCCCGUGUUCGCCUGCACCAGUGUGUUCGUGCACAGAUCUGUCACAUUUACCGUGAGAAGAGUGUUGAUUCCACUUUUAUGUUUCCUGCAGCAACACUUCAACACCGAAGUGACAGAACUCCCCGACAGAGCCCAGCUCACAGCAGGGCGGGCGGUUAUUGGGAUGCCGUGUGUGCAACCUGAGUUUGAGCAGCAUGCACGCCGGUUCUCACACAUGUGCCUGAGAGUGUCUGUGUGGAUAUGAGAGUGUGUGUUUGGGCCUGGAGUGAAAACAGAGCUGGUUCAGCAAAGGUACUUUAGAUCUGCCCUUGACCCAAGUCAAUCUGCCAUGUCUAGUUUUAAAAUUAAGCACAUGAUGGCUGUGUAGGCCCAGCCCACGCACCUUCUGGCCACAUUAGCAUUUGAGCAUCCAAUCGUACCAAAAAGCUUCACAUCAAAACUGAACGGCAGCAACUAUGUUGCAUAAACAUGUCUUUGGGUGAUAGACAGUGGUUGUCAUUUUCAUCAUGAAAUGUCUUUGCACUUUAUAAAGUAUGUCCUGCAGAACAGUGCAGCCUGACAUGAAAGCAGGUUUUGCCCUUUUAAGCUCUACCUUUGUGUGAUAAUUCCUGGAAACGGGUGCAAAAUACUGUGUUGAAUAAACUGAAAUAAAACAUUCAGAAAGAAUCUGAGCCCAGUGCAUGUGACUUCUUACGAUGGAGAUAGUUAUGUGAGUUCACUGAACCUCAAAGAAGACAUAUUUUACAGAUUUUACCUAUACUGAUGCCUCUGAAGACUGUCGUUUAAGCAUUAUUCAGCAUCUCUCUGUAAAGUGGGACUUAACACAGUUUUGUAGUUGCAAAACACCGAAAAAAUUAAUUAGUCCUUUACUGAUGAUGUCUGACUACUCACCCUCCAUUUAACCACGCUAGCCUAUGUAAGCUAUUGUUGCAUUGGCUAUCAUAUUGUUACAUUUUGCUAGUGGUAGGUAGCCUUCAUUCAAGGUCCAAGAACAUGAUUCAAUACGAGGUGACAGUUAAGAUGCAAAUUCAGCUCCUACUGGCCUUUGUUUACAAAAUUCCCAUAAUUUAAGAUGGGAAAAGUUAAGAUUGGACUAUGCUGUUAUCUCAAAAAGAUAAUUCCUUAUGAUUUUCAGAUGUGGUGAUUUUUUGGAAGUUAAAAAAAAAAAUGCUUGCUUGUCGGCUUGUUGUCUGACAAAGCUACCAGGUAGGCUUGUCUUUUGGGAUUGCUCUAAUGGGACCAAGUUGUUCAGGUAAAUCAAAAAAUGUUAUCAAAAAAGGUUUAAAGGAUAAUCCUAAAUCAAUCCAAACACCAUGAUAUUAAACAUUUCAAAUCUAUGCAGAGGAGUGCCACAAUAGCAUGUAAUAGCAAUGGGUCUGAGAUUGGAUUAGGCUUUCUCUUGGGCACCAACUGUUACUAGAUAGGACAUCUUCCUCCAGUCUAGAGGAGUUGUUAAAUUCCUGACAAAUCAGAUUUGGAUAUUUAUCGGACAGUGUUAUCAGCAUAGAGUUGAAACUAAACACUACAGGUAAAUUAUAAACAAAAAUAGGAAAAAAGAGGUGGACCUGAUGUUGAUCCCUGAGGCACACCUCAUUAAGGAAUCAAUGUAUUUCUUGAAAUAAUGAAAUAUUUAUGAUCUUGGUUAAAUCAAUACAAACCUUCAAGAAGUUUGUUAUAAAUUUUCACCAUUUUGGCAUGUUUUUAGGCAUGAAAAGAUUCCAGCAUCCCAACCCAACAGAGGUAUUCUAAAACCCACCACCAUUUUAGCACAAUACAUUGAAUAGUUUGAUUUCAUGACCAACAUUUCUUCCUGGCAAAUGCAGCUUGAAUGCUCACAGCUAACAUUAUGCAGUCGUUUUUGGUGAACCCUUCACAAAGACACAUUGCAAGUUCGGCCUGGCUGAGAAAAAUAGCAGGCGAGCUUAGUUGAAACGUCUGAAAGCAAUUGGGGGGGAAAAAGCUACUGAAAAAAAUGCCAUGGCAAUUUGGUGAAUUACAUCUCCCCGUUUGCUUCCGCACACACCAUAUGGGGUGUUUUUGUGAAAUUCAGAUGGCCUUUGCUCACGCUGUCACUUAGGCUCUGAAAUUAGCUGCAAUUUAGCUCUUUUUGAAAACAUCAACCCGAGAAAUACAAAAAGAAAAUCCAACCGUCAAUAGAAAAACAAAGCUUUACAUUUGUCUUGUUCAUUGACAGGCCUUUUCUUUACAAGGGCAGUAAGUUCAGCGAGGAGCGAGACUGUCCUUAAAUGAGAGCAAAUGUGUUCAAAGCCUCGCUCGCUAGCACAAGCAUCUGUCAAACACCCUUGAGCAAGAUGCCAAUUUCUGUCUUCAUUACUAUCAGUCAUUUGAGAAAAUCGGCCCUUAAUGGCCCAAAUUUCUCCGACAAAGUGAAAAGUUUUCAAGAGGCAAGAGAAACAGACCACUUCACUUGCUUUUACUGCUGUUCUCUGGGUUCCAUUGGUUUUAGAUUAAGAUUCAAUAUGUAUGCUCCAAAAUAAAGAUUAAAGGGUUUCAUGCACAAAUAAGAGAUAAUGUAGGUAAUGUGAUUAAGAACACAAAGUGAGUCUCAGAUGGACUUUAUAAAGGGAUUCUUGUGCACAGUUGUCCACUUUAUAUUAUCUUGCUAAUAAUUAAACCCUGGUUACUCGCUAAAAAUCAUUUGAUUUACCACUGAUUAUUAUACCAUACAAGUUAAACCAUUACAUUCAGCAAUGUGCAGUUUUUAUGCAGAUGUGUAGCUCUUUCUAGUGCCAUUUCUUACAGGGUUGGAUUCUGUGCAAACACAUCUAUAUGCUAUUUGGGCACAAGGUGCAGUGGCAUAGAUACAGUGCUGACCUUCAGUAGGGCUUGACCGAUAUGGAUUUUUUGGGGCCAAUGCCGAUACCGAUAAUGAUCAUAAGGGGGGGGGAGAUCAGAUUACAGAUUAAUCGGCCGAUUUUUUAUUUUUUUUACUUAAGUUAUAAAAAAUAUAUAUGUAUACUGUAGAUACUGUGGAUAUACUGUAGGCUACUGCUCUUGACAACGACAGGAAGACUGAACUGAUCAAACUUGGACCGGAAAAGCGUUUUCAACUACGAUUGGUGCCUACGCGUCUUCACUCACGAUACUCAUUUACGGUCCGGUCUCAUCUGGAGACAUGCAGCUGCCUCAGUAAGAGAAGUAGCUCGAUCACGUAAUGUUUACUGUUGUUUGUUCUACCGUUACUGACACGGCUAACAGUGUAGCAAGGCUUAUAGCAGAUUGCUAACUCUAACUUUAGCUUGCAUAUUACAUGGUGCUUCACUGUUAACUCAGCGUGACCGAGACCAGCACAGCGGGGAACAUCGUGAAGUGGGUUGAACUGAAACUUGUUGACUUAUUGUGUACGCCUCAACUGGUUUAUCCACUGUUGAGGCGGACCACUCCCCUCCGUGCGUCCCUGAGCUGCCCAUUGUCCAGAGGUCGUUGCGCCAUCUACAGGAUAAGUAGAUGUUUUCAAAUGGCGGAACAUUUUCAAAGUGAAACCAAAUCUUGUUCUCCGCAUUUUAUUUCUGAAAAUAUCAGCGAAAAUCGUCGAGUUUUGGCCAGUUACCGAUUAGUCUCAAACAGGCUAAAUUGGCCGAUUUAAUCGACUUGCUGAUAAAUCAGUCUGGCCCUAACCUCCAGCUUCUUGCAGGAAGAUUAACCGACCUCUACUCUUUGUUGGAAUUGUGGGCACUUUUUUGAAUCACUUUCAAUCGCAGGCGUUUGGUCUCUAUUUUCUAUACGAUGAUGUUGUUUUCUUCUUGUAGAAUAUGGUGGUCCAUGCACUAUUCAUACAUUGAGACUUAUUCAUGACAGAAUCCAAUCAUUUUUUUAUCACCUUAUCCGCCAUCCCCCUCCCUACACACGGACAUACGCAAGUAAAGAUCAGAGACCUUGUUGGUUGAAGUUGUUUGAAGAAGGCUGUUAUUACACCUUCUGGGAGAAGAAAGAAGAAAAAACAUGUUACCAUUACAGAAAAGAUGCCCGAGGCUUCAAUGACUUGCUAUGCCCUUUCAUUUAGUUUCUGUGUUGGAGUUCUCGCCAAUGAAUGGAGAAUCUAAGAGAACCCUUAAGGUGCCUGGAAAGUUGUUCAUGAGGUGCAGCGGGGAGCAGAAAGUUGAACUGCUGGGUAGAUUGAAAUUGCUGGCCACUGAUCCUAGAGAACAGCAGUGCGGUGAUUACUACCGUGAGGUGUUUACACCUUUAGGGUGUCUGCUGGCACUUGCUGGAGUGGAGUGAGGUGUUUUAUCUGGCUCAGAUAAUUAAAAACAAUCCUCAAACAUUCAAAAAUGAACAAAUGGGAUAGUACUUGGUGGAGGAUGUUGUCUUUUGAAAUUGAAGAGGUCACCAUCUUGGUUGGAGUGGCUUUAGACGGACAAUAUGUUUAAUGCACAUUCUUAGAUUGUCUCUAUUUUGGUUGAAAGUCAGUCAAAGUAGCAACAGCUGACCAAAAGGUAGCCAAAUUUUUAAAGCAAAGUCUGCUUCAUUGCUGGUUUUACUCCAAAUGGGACCAAUGUUUUAAAAAAAUAACACCGCACUGUAUGAAUGAAGACUUGAAACUAGCAAUUAAGGCGAUUAAAUCAUUAGGAAAAUGUUAAUAAGGUAAUAAAUUGACAGGGAAAUGGGGUAAUUUUCCCAUCUGGUUUCUUUGAGCUGAGUGCAGCCCCCCCUUUGCCAGCGAUGAGAAACAAUGCAGGUUAAUUGCACUCCAGCACUGGCUUCGCUUUUGAAUCCAAGAGUGGCUACUUCCACUUCCUUUUACACGGUCCGUGGUUUCAUGCCUAGGGGGUUAUUUUUUUCAGUUUUCUUGCAAAUGAUGGCGCCAUUAAACCUUUGUCAAUUAGCCAUCUGGGGGUCGAUGGGAAAAAAAGCACUCAGGCUGUAAUCAUGGUUCCCCUACCUUGCUUGCCAAAUACUCUCUAACCGGCUGGACUCUCCAACUCCCAACUCUCAAAUGUCCUUAUGCGCUUCAUAAUCACCCUGUGGAAAUGUGCACAAAUCUGUUCGUGUGUGUAUUUGUGUGUGCACGUCGCAGUUUGUCUCCUUUUUUAAAAUGACUGUGAAAAUCCUCCGCGCGAUUGACGAGCACCAUGUAAAAACAUUUACAUUCUCUACUUCUUGGUGCCAGUCUGGAUUAAACUGGCGAUGAGGAGGCUCCACUUUGAUUAACCUGCAUGAAUAACAGGGGCCAUCGGCACGAGAAAUCUCUGUGGACUCCACACUUGUGCACGCCCGCACACACACUCACCAUUUAGAUAAUUGACUCAUCAUGUCUUUGUCAACACUCCUGUCUUUUUUCUCAUUCACACCCUCUUUGCUGUCCUAAACUCACUGCACUGUUACAGCUAGUUGGAUAAAAAAGCCUCCACCAUGUGUGACGUGUGAAACUCUCUCUCCCUCUGUAUCCCUCUCCGUUUAUGCUCAAAGGCACCCCUGCGUCUUGCUAGCAAUCAGCAGGAGCUGCUUGACUCAGCCUGUAUGUAAAUGAGGUGAUUAUCUCACUUUUGGAAAAACCUGUUAUCUCUGUGUUUGUUUUAUAAUGUGCAGUAUGCAGGAGAUACCUGCAACUUUUAGGGACGCAGCAGGGAGAAGGUAAACGGAUAUGUCAGAAACUGAUGAAUUAGUAGUUUCUGAUUCUGAACUUGCACAGUUUUUAGGUUUUGUUGUGAAAAUAGAGUCCCAGCUGCAGAGGGAACCAUUGGCUAAGGGGUUUAGAGGUGCGCCCCAUGUAUAGAGACUACAUCAAGCAUGCAGCUCAGGUUUGAUUCUGGCCUGCAGUUUUUAUUGUGUGCACCCUCUGGGCACUAUUUUGGACUUUAAUUCAUAGGUGCCAUAUGAUAAGCUCAUUCCAAGUACUGGGAAUUGGUUCCGAACACAUACUCAAAAAAAGGCCUGUGGAUUUAAUGGUUGGAGUUACACUUUCAAGAUAUCUAAAAGGCAUGGUUGAUGAUUGGAGAGAUUGGUAAUUAUUAUGGUCAUGGUCCUAAAGUUCGAUUUUCAUAAAGUGAAGAGAAAAAAGAAUGGAAAAAAUCUGUUCACCCUAGCAGGUGCAGGGCUGCAAAAACAUAGACCAAUGCAAGCCAUCCGUCCCAGGCGCAAUAUUUUUAAAUCCUGCCUCCUUCACUUCUGAUUGGCUAGAAAAGCUGGAAACGUCAUCACACACUCAAGUCAAACGUGGGCUGUUGGCUCUGUACAUCAAACAGAACAUUAUCGCACAUCUGAAUCUCCGAACCCUAACCCUAACCCUUACCCUCAUUCUAACCCUAACCCUAACCCUAACCCAAAAGACGAUGACGUUUCACAGCCAUUAGGAAUAACCAAUCGGAGCCCAGCAUUUCUAGCCAAUCAGAGGUGAAGGAGGGCGGGACCUUGCCCUACCAUCCAAAAAAAAUAAUAAUAAUUCCUGGACAGCUAGUAUUGGUCAAUCUCAUGCUCUGCUUCUCCAUCCAAUCACCUUGCUGUAUUCGACACACCUCUCCCCCCUAGUUCCGACUAAUCCCCUCCCACUCUCUCGGCUCUCCUUGGAACUCUGAGCAGCUAAAACUAGCGUAGCAGCUUAGCUACAGGAGCUGUGAUGGAGACGGAUGGGGAAAAAAAAAAACCCUUUUCUGCUUGCCCCACCACCAAAAGUGCAAAGAAAACGCAAGCCAACGGAAGAAAGGGCAGAGUCGAAGAGGAUCAUCAACCACGCCUUUAAUGUAAAUAAAACUGCUGACUGCUUGCUUUGAAUGGGAGUCGAACCACGAACUAAAUGACCUCCACCGUAAGUCAUCCCCAGCUUAUCACACCACAUCACCUGACUCCAAAGUCAAACUGAAAUAUUAAUUCAGAGAAUAGAGGCCGGCGUUGACAUGUAAGAGGCAUCCAAGGAGUCAUAUUUGGAAGUAUUGGCUCACUAACCAAGCUGGCGUAAAUGAUAGCUUGGGAGGGAGAUUGAGCAGAGAAGUCAUGAGUUCUGCAGGAUGGAUACAUGGUCCCAUGCUGGGAACCUCGCUCACAAAUAGUGCCAACAAUGUUCACUGGAGCAGACAAGCGAGUUAAGACACUGCCGCAGAGGGCAGGACUGGGAUUUUCCCAGCUUGUGGCCAAUUGUUUUAUCCCUCGACUCCCACAAAACACGCUGUUAAAGGGGGCGCGCCUUUGAUUUAAAGGCCAGCUGGUUUGUCAUGAGUAGUACCAGUCAACCUGUGAAAACAGCUGUGAAAUGUCCUGCAGCUUUCAUCCCUGACAAAAUCAACCCUGGGUAAGAUUUUCCUUGCUUGGCUUGGCCUUGUGGAUGAAAUUUUAACCAAAAUCUGGUGGUGCAAACUAGAGGAAUGGAGUUUGACAGGUGUGGGAAUUUAACAGACAGGAGGGAGUCAAUAAAGAUUUAUUGUUUGCCAAAAAGAAACGUGUUGGGUACCAGGCUCAAGUUUCGAGUACUUCUCAAAAGGGAAAAUUCUGUCUUUUAAGGUCCUUUCUUUUAGCUAGCAGUGUUGUUUUUGUGCACAGCAGACCUCAUCACAUAGCCUCUGGCUGCUGUGUAUAUUUUUUUCAUAAUUUAAAGGUCAGUGUCACCAGGGUAAUCACUACAACACUUUCUAUUAUCAUAUAAGGGUGAAAGAGGACAUAAAUAAGCUAUUUCAGUCUUUCUAAGUGACAUUUGUUUAUAUUUGUGGUCUUGAUGUCUUAUGAUGAUCCCCGUCUGGCCGACAUUUUAUUUACUGCUAAAUCACCAGUCGUGUGUAUGCAUUCGCUUUGGCAAACGGCCUCGGCUGUAAAUCUCCAAGCUGCAUUUUUACUUGUGCCCAAGCCCCCUAUAGUUCAUGAAUAACUCUUGCUUUAAAGAUACCGAGAGUGGGUUCGGGCAAGGGAAGGGGUGGGAUAUAAAUCUGAGGCUGACACCUUCAGUGAAAGUCAUUAGUCAGCCGUCACUGACCCUGGCCCAACGCCAUGUCACAAGAACCUCCCUCUCUCUCCAUCACUCGCUCGUUCUUUUCCCAGCCUCCCUAUCGAGAGUUACCUCACCUGCUUAUAGCCUCAUUCCUUUAAUGGAGUCGAUGGCAUAAAGGGCAGGACUCAACCAUUUUUUAAGCAUAAAAGCAAACACACAUAAGCGCAGGCUACUUUACAUAAUAUUAAACUAUUAGCAUGCUAAAUGAAUCAAGUUAACUCUAUUUAUGAAGAGAAUUUACGGUUAAACCAAAGGAUAAACAAACAAAACAGCAAGCAGGAGGUAAUGUACAUAUCUUCCUUUUAGAUUGGGGUGGCCAAACUAGAGGUUGGUUAAAAAGGGGCACACUUAGUAUCAAUAAAUAAUCUUCCUGAACAUCACUUAUCAUAUAUAAAAAAACUACUUUUACAAAAGUAUCAUACGUUUAUUUACAAUGCCAAUCCACAUAACUAUAAUUCACAAUCCUUAAUGGCUUUAGAGCGGAAGACAGCAUCCAAGAUUUCCAAAAAGAAAGCAAAGUUUUGACUCAUCACCCAAUUGGAUGGUUUUACACUUAGUCUCAAAGUCAGCCAGGGUGCUGCUGGAUCAAGAUUUUCUUCCACUCUUAAGAGUACAAGACAUGGUUGAGUUUCCAUGAUUUCCAAAGAGAAUGUCAUUUUUUGUUAUUUUAGAAAAGUGGAUUGCUUUUGGAUUUAGGCUCAGUUCAUCUUGAGUGGGCUUGGGAGCAAGAGCUGUUCAAUCAGGAUUUCUUCCAUUCUUAAGAGUAGAAGACACUGUUUUGUUUCCAUGAUUUCCAAAGAGAAUGUCAUUUUUUGUUAUUUUAGAAAAGUGGAUUGCUUUUGGAUUUAGGCUCAGUUUCUCUUGAGUAAGCUUGGGGGAAAGAGCUGUUCAAUCAAGAUUUCUUCCACUUAGGAGUAGAAGACAUGACUUCCAUGAUUUCCAAAAAGAAUGUCAAAUUCUGUCUUCCAGGAAAAGUGGUUUCUUUUUUAUUUUGCCUCAGUUAAUAGGCGUGGAUCCAGAGAAGAUGAAAGCAAUCCUGAAUCAACAGUCUCUUGCAAGGCAUGGCUUCCAUGAUUUCCAAAAAGAAGAACAUAUUUUGUAAGUGGACAGCUUUUCACCUCACUUUAGUUCAUCUUUCAUAGUCCUGAACUGGGAGAAGAUGAGAGUGUUGCUGAAUUAGGAGUGAUGUCCACUGAAUAGAAGAGGACAUGACUUCCAUGAUUUCCAAAAAGAAUGUCAAAAUAUGUCUUAGGAGAAAAGCAGACAGUGUUUCACUUCAAAAUGGUAAAAUUUUAAUGAAUAAACUGUACAGAUUACAGGGGGUCAGGUGGUUUAAGGGGCCCCUGCCACCCUGGACCAUUCAUUGGAGACACACCCCUGCUAGACAGUGAAAAUAACCCUGUUUGACUGGGUCUUUUAAGCUCUAACAGGGGUGUAUAAUGCCUUUAUUUUCAUCUCACGGCUUGAGAACGCCAGUCUUUCUUCUCCUACUUCACCGUGCGCACAGACUCCGAAAAAAAUAAAUGAAAACCCCACACAAGAGGAAGAAACCGGUGUUCAAAGUAAGAGCAGGAAAUAUGUUUACCAAAGCGCAACCCAAUUCAUAGUGACAGGGCACUGAGGAGAAGGUAACAGCGUGUGCUGCUGGAAAAGUUCAGAAGAUUUAAAAAGGUCCUUUUGUACCUUCAGUGAAUGUGAUUGAUGUCGGGCAGGCCCUGAGAAAGCAACCGGCUCAUCCAUUUUCUGUUUUCAGAGAAGGGGUGAUCAGGUUUUUCUUUUUUCUUUUAUUUUUUUUUCCAGGUUUUACUAUCCAGCGAUGUUGAAAAAAAGAUGCACAGGGUCUCCAGGGAGCUGGCAAUUUCAAUUUGCUCCGGGGAGGGCGUUCUUUGCAGACAACAAUAUACAAAUGCACUGCAGUGUAUUCCAGAGGACAUAAUGCCUGGGUAUCAUUCAAUCCUUCACUGCAUGUGUGCGGCUGAAGAUUGUGGAGGUCAGACUUGGAAUCGAUGCCUGGAUCAAUUCAGACUCUGCGUUUCAUUUAGCAGAAAUGCAGAGCUGCUCAUUGUCUGUUCGGUGGCCUUUUCUGAGGUGAUUUUUAAUCAUUGCAUUCGAGCCUUAUCAGCGGCUGAAGAGACAGGAAAUUAACUGCUUAGAAAAUAUUAGUCAACUUUGUCACGCUGCAUACAACUUAAUUGUGUUAUAAUCCCUCAAUGGUAUUUCACUUGUUGACACAAGACCAGCCAAUUAAUGCUAAAGUUAAACAAGCCCGGGGCAGUGUAAACAUGUACAGUUCUUUUAAGCUUUGCCACUGCUGUUAUCACUUGUGUACGUUUCGAGCGCGUGUGAGCUGCGGGGUCUUAAGUAUCGCCUGCAGAAAAGGGAAGGUGUUUCUGCCAAGACGGAAAUGAAUGUACAGUUGCAAAGAUUUCUGCCACCGUAGGAAACUCGCAUGUGCAUAAGCGAGCGUGUUUUUGAAUGUACAAAAGAUUUUAUUUUUCCCGCCAGGGCUUGCCAAGAAUUAAAACAACUUGAAAACGCUGGGAGCUUUGUUCUAAACGCGGCUGUGUUUAGACAGACAGCUGCAGUAAAGUGAAAAUAAGCAGCCUGCUUGUUCAUCUCAAGGAGACAACUAUGUUGGUGCAGUUUGUGUGCCAAGUCUGGUGAAAUAAAACAAUGGUAAAUACACAGUUUGUGGCAAUUUGUGAAAGUUAAGAGUCUUGAGAUGAUUAAAGAGGCAGGAAAAUAAUAAAGAAGUUGCUGCUACGGAGCACAAAUGCUGGGAAGGUUUCACCUGUAGCCACUGUGAGUAAAUAUUGUGUGUCAAAAAGUUGAGGAAGCACAUCCCACAUGUCUCUGUAAAGUAUUAAGCUUACCCGGCACUCAACAGCUCAAGUAAAUGGGAGGUGAGCAGGUGGACGUGCCAAAUACACAUGGUGAGAGAAGACCCCUAAGCUUUCUAAGUGAGUUGCUGCCGCAGGUGUUGAUGUUUUAGUCUUCAAAGGUCAACUUGAAGGUGGCUUCAGAGGCAAAGUAUGAAACCCAUUGACUUUUAAAGGAACAUUAACAUCUUAUUUCAUCAAUUUUUUAACUUAUAGCUUAGUUUCAAAAAGUAAGGAUGACUUGUAAAAGUUAAUAAAAUGUGAUGGUCUACAUGUUGUUUAAAACCCUUACUUUGAUUAAAAAAAAAAACUAGCACAGACAACAUAUCAAGUAGGUAUAGGUAUGAUCCUAUCCACUGUCUCUACUAGAAUAUUUUUCAGCAGCGGCGCUCCUAUGUCUGUUGGGAGGUUUGCUGUUACCCCUACUCUCUACACUCACAUUAUAGUACCUGCGCUACUUGCUACAUAGACUGUGUAUAAGCUUGAAUGUUACCCUUUAACAUUAGUGAAAGAGGGUCCGACAGGAUUUGACUCGCUCAUUGACGACUCAAAACAAGUCGUAAAUAACGUCAUGUGUUGUUGCGCUUACACAGUGCGAGUAGAAAUUAUUAGUGGCGCAUUGAAAUUAAUGCUACCAAUGCUAUUAAUGCUAUAUAGAGCGUGUAUAAGCUCGUUAACCUUCCACCUUAAGGGAAGAGGGGUCCGAUAGGAUUUGACGCGCUCGUUGACGACUGAAAACAAUUCGAAAAAAAAUGUCAAGUGUUGUUAUGCUAACACAGCGUGAGUAGGAAUCAUUAGUGGCGCAUUGAUAUUGAUGCAACUCGCUAUAUUGGGCAUGUAUAAGCUUGUUAACAUUCCGCCUUGAGGGAAGAGGGUGCGACAGGAUUUAACACGCUCAUUGACGACUCAAAACAUGUCGAAAAUAAUGUUGUUUGUUGUUAUGCUAACAAAGUGCGAGAAGAAAUUAUUAGUGGCGCAUUGAUAUUAAUGCUACGCAUGCUAUUGAUGCUACUCGCGAUAAAGAGCGUGUAUAAGCUUGUUAACCUCCCCCCUUAAGGGAAGAGGGUGCGACAGGAUUUGACGCGCUCAUUGACGACUCAAAACAUGUCUAAAAUAACGUGUGUUGUUGUGCUGGCUCAGUGCGAGUAGAAAUCAUUAACGGCGCACUGAUAUUAAUGGUCAUGUGAAAUUUCGGCAGUUGCGGCGCAAAGAAUUCCGCCGCUGCUGAAUAAAUGUAGGGAAAACACUGCUAUCAGAUUACAGAUAAUGGCUUUUGAGCUGUGCACAAACAAAGUGGGCGAUCUCUGUCGAGUGGAGUGUCCAUCAUUUCAAAGAUAACAUCAAUUACUUAUUUGUCAGACCACAGGUACAGCAGCAAAGUGUGUUCAUGCGCUGCUUUCCACUACAAAGUCAUGUCCAUUUUUGAUGUAAUGCCACCUACAAGCCUGGAAACCACCUUCUAGUUUCAGCCUCGAGCCUUUUGUACGGAAACUGGCCAUCUUGUAAUCAACGCAGUUUUCUUAUGCUCUCUGAAAAGUUGUUGGAAUCUAGUUAUUUUAUCCAAUACUAGUAUUUUUUUUCAAGCUGUUAAUAUUUAAACAAACACCUUACAGUACUAAGAUAACAUUUGGGCUCACAUUUCCCCUGUUCCCCAUAUUUUAUUCAUUACUUUGAUUUAUUGAACCCAAGGAAACUGAGUUUUUCCAAGAGAUCAAAGGAGCUUUAAAUCAUUUUUUUUAUCGUCUUUGAAAAUAUAUCCAAAGACGCCACGGCACAACUCAACCCCGUGAUUUGAUCCCUGUUUGUAUUCUGCACCGUCGUGGGCCGCAUCACCGGAAAUUGUGAGCACAAACAUCGGCGGUGGCGGCGGCGCUACAAAGAGGGGAAACAUCAAAGGCGGCUUCAAAAACACGACUCCACGGGAUGCGAGACAUUCCUUGUGACAAUUCACCCCUUAAUACCGAGCUCUUGAUGCAUGACCUACAGACGUGGCAAAGCCUUUCCGCAUGGGGGGCAUCAAAUGGAAAAGCAAAGGUCAAUAAUGGGCUUUUCGUGUUUGUGGAGGUAUACUGUAAAGAUGCAAACCUGCAGUUUGUGCAUACACUCCCAUAACGCACACAAACACAUUAAUACUCAUUUUCAGCAUGCGUAAAAGUCAAGAAAUAUCAAAUUAACCAUUCCACACCAAUAAGGAGAAUGGUGAAUGAUGAAGAAAGGGGUUCCGGAUCUUAAAUCCCCUUCAUGGGUGGCUUAACAAUCAACACACUCUGAAUGAAGGUGACAGCUGGAGUUAUAUUCUAGGAUUUUAUACGUUUAUACAGCGCCUUCUUUUUCCAUUUGACAAGUAAAUGUGCUCCCUCUGGAUGGGAACGCCAGAACCUAAACUAAUUUCCACAAUUUUCUAAAAAGGAUCAAAAAGAAAAACACUUAUAGUUUGCUUUCACUGCUGUUACCAUGGACACACUUGAAGAUUUGCUUAUUUUAUUUAUUGUGCAGUCGUUGAAGAGGCCUUUUAAAGUGUGUAUUCGCCCUAUAUAUCUUUUGUCAGUGCUGUUAUAUCAUCAAUCUGUUUUGCAACCCGUAAAACAGAAGAACAAUUAUCUCAGACUGAUGAACAAGCAGUUGAGCACAUUGUCUUUUGAUUUUCUUUCCCGUCGCCUUGCCACGGCUCCUCAGUUGGAAUAUUUCUUCUUCCACCGGUUCUUCAUUGAUCCGUCGAUUCCUUCAUCGGCUCGAGUGUGUUUCCCCAAGACAACACAGAGCUAAAGGACGCAUUUGACACCAUUACAGAGCCAAGGAGAGGUUGAUGCAUCAUGGCGGAGCGAGAAAUGCCAGCAGAGCUUCGCUUUUAUCCGCCGAAACCAGCUUGCACUGUUUUGGUUCUAUAAUUUUCACUCUUUAUCACGUAGUUUUCGGCCUUUUCAGUCAUGGUGGAUUAAGAUUCACAAUUUCUGGCUCAGAUCAGGCCCUCAUAACUAUUCCGGUGACCCUUUUUUUAAUCCUGAGAAGUGCUAUGGAUUUAUAACCCAUUGUGUGUUGUCUCUCUGUCUCAAUUGAAUCCCUCGAUGCACGGCCUUGGACACCUUCUGCAGCAAAUGCAGCAUACAGCAGAUACAAAUGCAGGAAAAUUCAUGAAAACACAUAUUUUCUUUUCACUGUCACUCUCAUUAAUGUGUCUAGUUGAGUGACAGCGAGGGGAGGCGGGUUAGAUGAUUGAUCAGCCUCGGUGGAAACAAACUCCAGCUAAUUGGGGUUUUCCAAGCUUGUCACAAAACGUUAAUCUUCUCCUUGUUUAACUGUUUUUAAGAUACAUACUGUCUGUGCAGCACUUUUACAGCAAUAACCAGAAAAGAGACUCACAUUUAUUUCCUCCACAGCACCAGAGAAGGUCACAUUGACAUGCACCUCUUCAAAUAUUUAACUAUAUAACUCUUAGCGCUGCCAAAACCUCUUCAUGACACCGUUUAGAGUAUUACCAGGCUGCAUUUAUUCUUAUUACAACAGCAGAAGUAGUUUCUGAAUAGAGAGCACCACCAGGGUCGAAGAACAAUACAGCAGCUUGAGGGAAUGAAAAAGGAAGUCUGCUAAUUUCAUAAUAGGUCUGCGGGAUCAGCACCUUGGACAGCACCACACAAUCCCAACAUUUCUGUGACUCUAUGUGGAAAUUAUUUUUGGAAAUCCUGGACAUGGUGUUAAAAAGAGUCGGUGCACAGGAUCCAAAAAAAGCACAGGCAAGAGGCUAAGUCAAGCAGUACUGAAAUGAGGUCAACACAAUCGCCAUGUUUACAUGGGCAAAAUUUCUUGAUCCAAUUAAAAAUUUGAGGCAUCAGAUAAUCUGAAUCCACUGUUUAUAUGGGUGCAAAAUCAAAUAAUCCGAUCAUGACGUACAACAAACACAGUAGUGUCUCACUUCAUCCAAAUCAGGAUUUUUCCCUAGUAAAUGUUGUCACUAGAUGGCGCCCUUGUGUACUUAUUCUACUGUUCUGUCAAAGGUUGCGCUGUACGUGCAGAUGUGACAUGAUUACGCUGUAUGUACGCCUUGUUACGUUACCGGAGGAGAAGACAUGUUUCCUGCGGUUGUGUUUUAUGCCAGAGUGUUAAUAAUGAAACCUCUAGUACUGACCUCAAUAAAUAAACCAAAGGUUAAAGAGUGAAGAUCAAGUCAGGUAAGAGAGUCACGAUCGGAAUAAGUGUUUACAUGGACGCGUUUCGGAAUAAUGAUCGGUUAUUCCGAACAGGCCUUUAUUCCGAUUAUUUGUGCCCAUGUAAACGCAGCUACUGAGGCAAACAAUAGGAAUAAAUGCUGGAACUCUGACGCUAAGGACAAGACGAACUGGCACAGAGGGGAGGCAAAGCUGGGUUUAAAUACACCAGGGUAGUAGAGUUAACGAGACACAGGUGAGACUAAUCAGGGUAAUCAGGGGAGCAGGUGACAAGGAGGAGGAAGUCAAUGAACCUGAAAGAAGUGACAAGGCUGAGUAUCAAAAUAAAACAGGAAAUACAAGAUAAGAAAUAUGAGGGAUGACAAAAAAAAACAAAAAAAAACUAAAGGGAUAUUCUGGUGUAAAAUUAAGUUCAGGUCAAACACACCGUAACACCAAUCUGAGCACCAAACAGAUUAAAGUUGUGUACCACUCGUGUAUUUAUGAGGAUUGUGGCACUGGACAUGUACAGAAGUGUUGCUGUCACAUCUCCUGGUUGGUUUAAGGGAUACUCCAGCGCAAAAUUAAGUUAGGGUCAAACACACCAUAACGUCGAUUUAGACACCCCCUCGAGAGAAGAAUGUUGCUGACCGCUUGCUUCUCUAUUUAUACCAACUUUAGUAACGACCGCAGAAGGCAAUACGGAGAGCCAUGUGCUCAACCAAAACGCCACUCUAUAGCCACAAAUAAUCUUCGGAACAGCACCUAACUUCAUCAACAGUACAUAUAGGGCCCCUGCCAUAGAACUAGCUACCAAACAUCUUUUUAACUUUGCCUAAUUUCUUUUGCAAAGUGACUAAAAUCAAUACUCCGAUCAAUAGAUAUCUGUAGUAAGAUGGUGCAGAUGUUUUAUCAUGGAGUAAUGAUCAUAAAUGUUCUUCCUUGAGCUGCGUAACCCCACUGUAGUCGAUGGACUCGCCCCUACAAACAAGUGGCUGCUGGAAGAGAGUAGGUGAGUCUCUUUGGUAAAGAAAUCAGGCAAAGCUAAAAAGAUUUUUGGUGGCUAGUGCUGUGGCUGGGACCCUAUAUGUCCUGUUGAUGAAGUUAGGUGCUGUUCUGAGCAUUAUUUGUGUCUAUAGAGUGGUGUUUUGGUUGAGCGCGUGGCUCUCUGUAUUACUAUUGUGCGGUCAUUCAACACACAAGUGGUACACAACUUUAAGCUGUUUGGUGCUCAGAUUGGUAUUUUUGUGUUGCAGUCGCUGCCUUCCUCAGGUGCCCCAGUGCUGACCCCCACUUUUGCUAACACCACCUCAGCCUUGUCUUGUCUGACUGCUAAAUUCGACUAACUCUUUUAAACGCAUUUUAGUGCCAGCUCAGUGCUUUAAUUUGACUGAUUCCCACCCUGAUAGAUUUAGGAGUGGGCUGGUUGAACAGUUUAAUGACCUCUACAUUAAGAGCGUACUUACCAAGAGGACACAUCCAUUCCGAUACCCUGCGCCAUCAAUUCAUUAACUCCCUCUGCAAUAUUUACACACAUCAUUUGUGUACAGAGCAAGCAAAAAAUGGAAGAAGGAAAAAAAAAAAGAAAAAAAAAAUCAGCUAUUCACAGCUGCGGGUGAGGCUGAUGGAUGAGGUUUGCCUCCGCGAGGGCGCGAAAGCACUCGGAGGCCUGCAGUGUGUGAUUUAACUGCGAGCAAGGGAAUGGAUUUCAGCCGCUCUGUAAUGGGGGGGCUGGGUGUAAGGAAAGGAUGACUUGGCUGGAGAUGAGAGUCAUGCACCCGUAAUGGAUGCCAACAGAGGGGGUAAUCAUCGCAGACACAGGAAUUAGUCCCAUCAGCGCUGGGAGACUGUAAAAUAUGUCAAACGCCGCAUAAUAAGUCAAGAAUUCCUCCAUUUUUACAAUCUCAGGGAGGGAUUUGAGCUUCAGAAGGAAGAUGUAGAAGGAGAAAUCCCAAAAUAGCUUCUGUUUGCUUUUUUGGUGUGCACCCUGUAGAUACUCAGUGAAAUAUAGGGAGUACACAAUGUGGCCAAUUACGCAGGCCUCUUGCUGAUAGUCGAAGCAUACAACAACAUCAAAUACAAGUUUUUGACAGAGUAUCACUCGGGACCGACUGUAUCAGUGCGCAUACAACCGCUAAUAGAGUUUUCAUUCAGACAGAAAUUUACCGUUCAUGUUUAGAUCGUAAACAGCUCCGUUAGCAUUUAGGUUACAAAUGAAUCCUUUCUUUUUUUGUGGCGUAUUCAAACAGCAGGCCAAUUAAAGUGAGAAGGUCACUGCCAGAGAGAAAAAGAGAGAAAUAUUACAAGAAAAGUAUCUCCUCCAACGUUUUUUUUCCCUGCAGUUUUCUUGUCUCCUCAGCUGGCUUAUUUCAACAAUGGGGAACCUGUCAGUCACUCGCUGAAAGGACAUCAAUGUGCUUGACUAGCCUGCUCAUCAGUGCGGCAGCACAGGGUGAAAUAUUCAUCAGGGGUCCUCGCACACAUUGAGAAAGCGGGAAGAAUCCCCCAGAUCAAAUUCUUAUUAGCAUACCGAGCCUAAAGAUAAUAUCUGUAAGAGUAUGAGCUUAAUUAUGAGUCGGACUUGUAUGACCAUUCACAGUCGGAAAGGUUUCCAACUGUAGCUCGAAACAGUCUGACUAAUUAAUGUCAGUUAAAUGAGGUCCGGCGUAGUUUUUUGAAAGGUAAUUAUAUCGUUUUACGAUUCACUGACCAUUUGUCACCGCUGAGUAUAAAUUAGGGUCUCGUCUGCCUAAUUGUGCCUCAGCGUAUUGGGCCGAACACAAAGAGAUGAAAGGAAGGUUCGAAGUUUCAGACGUAAAGGCUAAAGAGGAUAUGCCCGGGGGAAAAAGUAGCGAGUUGAAAGCAAAAGUUUAACAGCGAGCCUGUUAGAGCAAACCACGCCACACUCUGAGGUUUGAGAAACAGCGAGGCCGACGCCGUCUACUGUAAAGACCAGAAUGUGUGUCACACCAAUAAUCAUCAGUUUCUGGUCUUUUCAUCAUGAAGCUGUGAAAACGUCUGAUCCUGGAGGAUUAGACGGAUUUUCUCAGGAUAACGUCAGACUGCUUUGAUGUUAAUAAAGGAGCAGUACAAAGUUUAAGUUGUACGACUGAUCCUUUCACCUCUGUGAUGUUUAAGAAAACAGAUUUUAGCUUCUGUGUUUGGUUUUAUGAAUUUCCAAGAUUUAUCCCGAUAUUUAAUAAUCUGUCUGGAAACUCAAAUUGGUCGCCAAAUAAAACCAAACUCAUGGUAUUUUCGAGCAAGGGUGAGUUACCUGGGAACAGUCCCUCUGUUCUAACUUUGCAGGGUGUACUCAUUGAGCUUGUAUCUGUGUAUAAAUAUCUGGGUUUUCUUGCACAUAUUGCUAGUUUGGCCACUAAACUCAGAUUAAAACUUGGUUUCGACUACAUGAAUAAACCUGCUUCUCCCUCAGUGCUCAAAAAUACCUUGUAUCUGCUACCUUUCUUCCACUGUUGGAUUAUGGUGAUGUUUUAUAUAUGACUGCUUCAGCCAAAUGCCUGCAGUCCUUAACAACUGUCUAUCACUGUGCGCUGAGAUUCCUCACCGGUUGUAGUCACCUAACACAUCACUGCGAACUUUAUGCCAAGUCUGGCUGGCCUUUGCUGAGUACUCGCGGGUACACUCACUGGAUGACUCUAAUUUCUAAGGUUCUUCUUGGCUUAGCUCCUUCUUUGAUCUUCUUCAAAGGACUGAAAGACAUUACACCCUGCGCUCAAACAACACUAUCCAUUUGAUUGUUCAGCAAAUAAGAACUGAACUGGGCAAAAAAGUGUACUCUUCAGUACGUACUUAAACUAUAAUCCAUAAACGUAAGGUAACAACCAAGACCUAAUGGUGCUGUGACAGCAACGCCAUUGAGUUUGAGACAGUGAAAAUACAUAUGGUAUGUUGUAUCUGAACAGGUUAGCUUACAAGCUAAAGUUACUUAGCACAGAUGAAAGUUAAAACAAAGACGUUUAGCAAACUGUUAAAGCACACGAACCAUCAUCAUAUGAGAAAUCCGACACUAUGAUUCUCCACAAGUUGUCCUUCAGGUCGUAAUCUUUGUAAUAUUUGUGUCUUUUAUCAAAAAGCACUCUGUUCUCCGACACGUUAACAAUCAGCCAGUCAGCCAUGUUGGAUAUACCUGUGAAUCUGACGUCACAACAACACGAAAUCUGAUUGGUCAGAAGUGGACACACAGUAUGUGAAACUUCAGAAAAAUCGAAAUAAAUGCUGCAAUAUCACAGGAUGGGAAAACGUCACUGAUGUGAACGCUUGUAUUGACAGGAUACAGGUUCGAAAAAAAAUUAUUGACGUUCGAAAUAAUCACAAGAAGAAAACGGUCCCGGUGUGGCAGGAGCUUUAAUUUCGCUGGAAGCCUUUCGUUCAAUCUUACAUGACAGACUCGGGGAGACCAUGGGACAGUGCUUGUGUUUUUAAUUAUGUUUCUGGAGGUCAUUUUCUUCUUUGUUAUUAUUUAUCAUUGUGAUGUGUGCUGCCGACCUCUUGGCCAGGUCACUCUUGUAAAUGAGAUCUCGAUCUCAACCUGGUUAAAUAAAAAAGAGAAUAAAAAAGCUCCUGUAAAGGAACUUUUGGCACGAAACAGUCUUUGCCUAUAAAAGUGUCUAAUGUGAAACUGAUUAAAUCAAGACUGUCUCUUUACCCAGCUUAUGCAGUCCAAGUUUUCUUUUGUACAAACUUGUACAGAGUGGAUCAGAUCCCAGGUUUCCUGUUAUAGACUGGUUCCACUCGGUGGUUUCCCGGAAUGAGAAUUUCCUCCAUGGCAGGCGAGGUGGCUGCCGGCUGCCACCUCCACUGCCGGAAGAUGGGACAGCCUUUCACCUCAAGUCGUGCUAGGCUGGGUGCCCAUCAGCCCGGUGUCAAACCCCCAUUACUGUCUGAGUAUCAGCUGUCGGGGUGUCAAAAGGACUGAGAGGAGGAGCCACUCACUGCCGUGCUCUCACACUUUUGUUCUACUUCUUUUUCAUUUAUCUAGUCUUCCUCCCUGCCGGUGCCUGAUUUUUAAAGAUUGAAGGUCUUUGUGCUUCCUUGACAGUGACUGCCACUGGAUCACAUCACAUCCCUUUUACUUGAACUGUCUCCGAGGUGGAGUAAUAGAAACUCUGGAAACUUAAUGUUACAGCCGAGUGAGCUUUCUCCAACGGAAACUUAGGACUUUUUCCCAGCAAGAAAAGACAUAGUAUGGUUUAAAAAGUACUCUGAAUAUCAAUUUCUUCUUUAAAAGGCAAUUUCUCUUUGUAAAUAACUUUUUCUGUAGUGUAGACUGCUGUGCACUCGUGCGCCCUGUUGUCUAGUCCACUCACUCUACACCACGGACCCCGACGGGGAAAAGCUUAAUUACCAUUUGAUGAGUUUGAGAACAAAAGCUGCUGCGUUACAAGUUGAAAAUUGGUUAUCGGCUUCUUGUGCUGUUGCUAUAAUUUGGUCUUGGCUGUGUUCAAUGUUUCAGUCUAAAUUGUUCUGUCACUGGAGGUUAUGGGGGGGAAGGAAGAGGAGACCUCUGCAGAGACUGGAGGCCUCUAAUUAUUUCAUUCCUUUACAGCAGUGAAAUUCUCGAGUCGAGCAAGCUUGACAAGAGAACGGGGAAUAUGGCCUGAAUUACUAUCAGCUUAAGGAAAAGGCUGGUGUGUUAGUUAUCCGAGCAAAACAUCCAGUUUACAAGUGAUUAAAAAAACAAAUUACGGGUUAAACUGGGGAAUCCACACGGCUACCAGUUAAAGGAAAUACUCUCCAUUAAGGAAAGGAGUAAGUUAUGUACAUGUAGUGGAUAUACAGCCAAACAAUUAAUGUCACACUUCAGGAGGAGCUGCGUAUAAGACAUACACAUUUUCUUUUCGUUAGAGAAGAGGAACAGGGCUUCUGCAUAAAAGUAGUAAAUCAAGAAGAUUCUUUUUUUAACUGUUUUCAUUGUUUUAUUUUUGAGAGAUAAAAGUCACAAUUCUUGGUCUUAUCUCUCUGAAUUCAGCCUUGAAACUCUUCAGUGAAUAAAGUCACAAUUCUGGUUAAUCAAAAUAUGAUUAAAUUGAAUUCAAUUCAAAUUUUUUCCCCCCAAAAAACAAGUCAAGAUAUUGUCUGAAAACUCACAAUUCUGUUUUAAAAUUCAACAUUUGUGAAAUAAAAAAAUAAUAAUAAUUUUGCAUUUUACUCAGAAUUCUAAUUUGAAUGAAACAUUUUGAGCAAAGUUUGUAAUUUGACUGAUUUCAGUAUAUAAAACUGGAGUUCAAAAUCUUAAGAACAACUUUUUAUUUUUUUCAGUUAUUUCUUUUUUUUUUUUCUUUAAACUUUUUUACAGUUUUAUUUUUGAAAGAUAAAAGUCUCAAUUCUUGGUCUUUUCUCUGGUCAAUCAAACUAUGAUCAAAUUCAGAGUUUUUUUUUAUUUCCAAAAAAAACCUCAACUCGAAAUACUUUGAAGAAAGUCAAAAAUCAAAUUUGGAAAUUAGAAUUGGAAUUUGAAUACAAACAUUUUAAGAAAAGUUUGUAUUUUGACUCAUUUCAGUAGAAACAAUGUAGUUAAAUAUCUAGAGAACAAAUUUUUUUUUGUCAUGUAUUUAUUUAUUUUUUCAACUUUUUUACAGUUUUAGUUUUGAGAGAUGAAAGUCUCAAUUCUUGGUCUUAUCUCUCUGAAUUUAGACUUUAGACUCUUCAGUAGAUAAAGUCACAACGCAAUUCUGGUCAAUCAAAAUAUGAUCAAAUUCAGAUUUUUUUUUUUUUCCCAAAGAAAAAAUUGGACUCAAAAUACUGUGAAAAAAAUUAAUUUUGGAACUUAGAAUUGUGAAUUCAAUCCUUAAGUUUUGAGAAAAAUAUCACAAUUCUAAUCAAGUUAAAAUUUUGUCUAAAAACUCACUGUUCUGGUUUCAAAUUCAAAAUUUCUGAAAAAACAAAACAAAAAAAGAAAAAAAGGCUGGGGACGGAUCCAACAGUGAAAUCAUAAUAACAGCACUGUAGGCUGGAAAACAUGUAGUAUAGGCAAAAGGAGUCAAUAUGAGACUGUCAGAGUCCUCAAGCACAUGUGCAAAACAUUAAUUUACAGAUUAUGGCACUAAAGCUUGUCACUUAAUUCACUCAUACCAAUUUAGAGUUGACAUAACGAAGAUUGAACAUUGUGUUUCCAGUUGUUACCAGCUGCAUCUUAUGUGCAGCUUGGCUUUAAAUUCCUAUACUUAGAAAUGCUUUUACUGCAUGUCAACGCUUAAGGUCAGCCUCUCUUGAGUAAAAUGAAAAAUAAAAUCAAAGAACCUCAAACACACGGCUUUGAGUCGAGCAAAAAAGAACUAAGCCUUCAGCAAUUUUCACAGCCUACCACACUUCUAUUCUUAAACUUGCCAUUUCCCCGCUUCCGCCAAGAGCUCCCACCUCAGACAGCAACCCUGCUGUUUGACGCUAACAAAAGCUGAGAGAUGCCAGGUGUGAUGACAUGAUAACCACAGUCCAGGUCAGGCUGCUCUGAAAAUUUUUUCAAGGGUCACAAAUUAAAUUUAGACCCUCCUGGCUAUUGAGGAUGUGGGCUCCCACUGUGCAAACAGACUUAACUGUGACUGUCAUGUAGAUGUUCCCAAAGCCCUGUUCUUGUCACCCUUUCAUGAGAAGUUGAGACACCACAGCCACGAGGCCACUCCAUCAUCAGCUCAGGAUUUUUUACAGCAGAGGCAGACUGAAGCUCUGUGAUCUGCUUAAAGAGAGUUAUACUUUAGGUUUUUUAAAAUAAAUGAAUGCUCUUAAAACUGUAUAGUAGUGAGAUUCAGAGCCAGGGGCGGAUCCAAGGGGUGCCCAUAGCUCUGCUGAAAUCAGUUCGGCCACCUUUCGGCCACCACAAAACAACAGUUCUGUGGGUAGUUUUGGCCAAAUCAGCAUGUAAGCACACUUUUUUUUUAAACUUUUGUUGCCAUUUUCUUGCAGCUCUCUUGCAUUGAUACUUACAGUGGUGCAAAUAAGUCACGAAGGAAGUUACUGAUGCAAAAAAAAAAGAAAAAGAAAGAAACCGAAGCCUGCUGCAAAUAAAAACAGAAACUGUGCAGAUACAAAAGCCACAAUGGAAGUUAAGGAUGCGAAAAAAAAAUCAGUAACUUUCGUUGUGGCCUUUUUUAAAAUUUGCAUCCUUUUUUUUUCGCAGUAACUUUUUUUUUUGUUUUUUGUUUUCAUCACCACUUUUUUUGCGUCAUUGACUUCCAUUGGGUUUUUUUUAUUAUUUUUUGUUUCAUCCAUACUGUUACUUUUUUUAUUUGCAGCAGGCUUUGGUUUCUUUUUUUUCUUUUUUUUUGUAUCAGUAACUUCCAUCGUGGCUUUUUUUUAUUUGCAUCCUUUUUUUUCGCAGCAAGUAACUUUUUUUUUUGCAUCACCACUUUUUUGUGUGUCAUUAACUUCAGUUGUUUUUUUUUGUUGUUUUUUUUAACUGUACCAUUUUUUGUUUUUUAUUUGCAGCGGGCUUCGUUUUCUUUCUUUUUUUAAUGCAUCAGUAACUACCAUUGUGGUUUCUUUCUUUGCUUUUUUUUUUUUUUCAUUUUUUUAUUUGCAGCAGUGGCGGUUCUUGGCCACCAUAGAUACUUGAUCUGAACUUUUUGAUUUUGAUUGGAGCGCGGAGGGCAGCAAAGACCCCAAACAGAGAAGCAACAGUGAUGAUUCAUACAUUACUAUUGAAAUUAAAACUUGGCAUUGGUAUCAAGUUAUAUACUUGGCCAAGCUUGACUUUGUGGCCUGCCUGAACUAACACUAAGUUUAUAUUAUGCUGCUAAUAUACAUAAUAAAACCUAACUUCCCAUUCAAAUGACAGAGUGUGCUUCGUUUAAUGCAGGCACUGAACCUCAGUCUUGUGUUGAAAGUUAGUCCAACCCUUUUAUUUAAAGUUGAGGAAUGAUUUGGCAAUUUUACAAACAAUAAACUCACAAACUAUAAAGCGUGAAAUAGAAGGAAAUAAACUUCUCCCCUCUCUCUAAUAUAGCCUCAUUCUUUUGUGCACACUGCUGAAAAGCUUGAAAACCUUCUCCUCUCUUUGCCCUGCCAGCAGUUAGCCCCGGACAAGAAACUACUCUUCGCAUCAUCAGUCAUCAGGUAUUGAGCGUAAAAAUUCAUUGAGAUGCAGUAAGCUGCGAUAGCAACACCACAAUGGCAGCUGGAAGGGAAAGCUUACCAGUCAGUUUAUCUAAAUGAGAUUUUUAUUGAUUUUAAUGCUCCCUCCGGUUGUGUCAUCACACUGAAUCUGAGCUGCCUAGACUUUGAAUAAUGAAAGCUAAAAUACUGUGGACAUGAUGCAACUGGCGUUUUCCUUGUGAACAACCAAUUCGAGGGAUCAGGACUCUUCAGUUUGAGGUUUAAGGCGAUGUGUGGACACGUGUUUUAUAUGUCUUUGUAUUUUUGUUAGGAUUGCCUCUAUGAAUUGAACAACGGCUUUGUGUUAUCUCCUCACACUGCAGCUGGUGAGCACCAUCCCUUCAAACGUCUACCACUUUUCACUGGUAAUGAAAAGGUCACCCGAGCCGCAGUCACUAAUAAUGUUAGAUCGGCCAAAGUGAGCUUGAACACGGCUGGCAGAAUCAAAUCAUUCGAUCAUGAGAACUCUCGUGUCCAAGAACGUCCCCCGGCACUGUGUAGGUUGCGAGAGCUGCAGGCUAUAUGUCCUUCAGUUCACUCUGAGGAUUAUUGAAGUGAUUUUUCUAGCUGGUGGGAAGCACUAUCUGUACAGUACAUUUAGUGUAAAGGUGGUGAAGGUUGCCUCUGUCCAUCAGCUGCACAGUAAAACAUACACUUUGUCCUGAAGGUACAAGGAUUGCAACAUGUUGUCAGGCAUCUAAAUUCAACCUUUUUCUCCCAUUUGCAGUUCACAUUCAGCCUAACUAUGCAUGUGUCCAGGGCAGUGUUGUGCCCGAACACGUUCAAUGAGUGAUCAUUUAUGAACUCAUCCAUAGUUCAGGCAAACGUGAACGUAUUGUUCUUAAUAGGGCCCGACCGAUUUAUCUGCGAGCCAAUCAAAUCGGCCGAUUUAAGCCCGUUUGAGAUUGAUUAGUAAUCAGCCAAAACUCGCAGAUUUUCGCUAAUAUUUUCAGAAAUAAAAUGCAUAGAUUAAGAUCCGGUUUCACUUUGAAAAUGUUCCGCCAUUUGAAAAGUUCCCCGACUUAUCCUGUAGAUGGCGCAGCGACCUCAUGACAAUCUUCAUUCACUAACUACCUCACAGCACAGUGAAGUGACGGAUCUGAAGCAGGCAGCUCAGGGACACACAGAGGAGAGUGGUCAGCCUCAACGGUAAAUAAACCAGUUUGUGAAAUACACAAUAAGUCAACAAGUUUCAGUUCAACCCACUUCACGAUGUUCCCCGCUGUGCUGGUCUCGGUCACGCCGAGUUAACGGUGAAGCACCAUGUAAUAUGCAAGCUAAAGUUUACGUUAGCCAUCUGCUAUUAGCCUUGCUACACUGUUAGCCGUGCCAGUAACGGUAGAAUAAACAACAGUACACAUUACGUGAUCGAGCUACUUCUCUUACUGAGGCAGCUGCAUGUCUCCAGAUGAGACCGGACCGGAAAUAAGUAUCGUGAGUUAAGACGCAAGGGCACCGAUCGGCGGCGGAGGUGGGGGCGGGGUAGUCGAAAGCGCUUUUCUGGUCCGAGUUUCAUCAGUCGGUCUUCCUGUCGGCGUGAAGUGCAGUAGCCUACAGUAUAUCUACAGUAUAUAAAUAUAUUUUUUACAACUUCUUAAAAAAUCUAAAAAAAAAUUAGUGAAUUAAUCAGUAAUCGGAUGCAAAUUAUCAUCUACAUUAUAACAUAUAAAAAUUAAAAUCUAAUUGGCAGAGAUCUUUAGUUCCUGCAUUAAAAAUAGGCGGCGUGACUCUGUAGUAGAAGUCACUGCAUUGCCUCAAAAACUGUCUCUGAACACAGUUUGUUGUUGCAUGGUUCAUAAAUGCUGGCAGAUUUCUCAGACCAAGCCUCUUUAGGAUGGAUUGAGUGUAAGGUUCAGGUUUUGGGGUGACUAGUGUAGUAAUGCCAUUUUCAGGGGAGAUCUAUUAUUUAAGUAAGACAACGCCAAGAGACAAUCGAAGAGUUCGGGCCAAUAAGUGGCGGAAUUGUAAUCUACUUGCCUGCUUUUAUAGGUCAAGAUGGAAGAGAAACAUCAGCUAUGGCACACUGCCUGGUACCCAGUGGGUUCUAGGGAAAGGUCAAGCACCCCUGGGAAUGCACGGUUUGCCAUCAGUCUUGCUCCUUCACUUGACACCUCUGCUUUAAGGCUUGGUUGCAAAUCUGACCAACACCCAAAGAUACUGCAUAAGCACAAAUACUGGGAUAUAGCUCCUCUGCAUGCAAAACCACACUCUUAAGAGAAAUCUAAAUGAGGAAUAUCCACGUUCAUGUAUCUUUAAACUGGAACAUUUUCUGUCCAGAAUGCCCACUUGGGUUUUUCUAUGAAAUACCACUCAGGCCUGAGCUUCUGUGGGCACUGUCAGCUGGUUUUAAUGUUUUACAACGAUGUUUCAUUAGUAAAAGGAAAACUUUCUUUGUAUCUGCAAUGCAUGCAUAAAUAUUUCUUCACUAUGCAGAGCAGGGAGGAAAAAACCACCCUGUAAAACAGUUAUAUCUGCUUGUAAUUUAUGUCCUAUUAUUGUGCAGUGUACUGUCCAGAACAAAUUUCUCUAAAAGUGCAUUUAUUCUCCUCGCUACAAGAUUAGCAUGUGCAGCGUUCUGGCAAGAUUAUAAAUUCAAAUGUCACACUUUGCAUGUUGUAGUUUAAUUCUAAAUCAAAUUAAGGCUAUUUAAAUCAGAGUCACAUGCAUAAUAAUGAUGCUGUCUCAUAUUUUAGACUCAAUUAAAACAAACAAGAGGGGACCACAGAGAAAGCCAUAAAUAUUGCAGUUUGUACUCACGCAAUUGCAUCACUCUCUUCAUCCCCUUUCUUGCAUACAUAUCCGCUGCAUGACAUGUAGCACUUGUCCAUAUGGUAAAUAUACAACUUGAUCAUUGCGAGCGCAGCUGUGGGUUCAUCAUAAGUGACACGCACCCUGCUAUUAGAGUCUAAGGGCUCCUAAGAUGGUGGGGAGUCUUUUAGCACUUGAAUACUCACUUCACAGCCAAACAUGUCGCUGAAAGGGUGCUUUAGUCCCCACCGACACGCUUUGAGUGCACAACUCUAAUUAAGCUUUGGCAUAGCUGUGAUUUAAUUACAGUUAAUGUUGUUCUGAGUGUGACGACCAGAUCUUCUGUCCUUUAUUGUAGGUUGGCAUUUUAAUAGCAGGUGGUCACAUGCUUAUACGUAGAUAUGGUUUGUUGUCAGCUAAUGUGCUUUUCAUUAAUCAUAUGAAUACAUAUUAAGAGAGAUGAAUUAUUUAAUGAUGUGACAAAAGUGAACCAAAGGGCUGGGGAAAAUCAAGCAAAUUUGCACAGAGCAGAUAAUUAUUUUAAUUGAGUUAUGAAGGGUAUUUAUUAAUAUAACUAUUGUUAUUUUAAUUUACGUGAUUCACCACAUGUGCAGAGGUUAUAGUCCUCCAAUUCAGCGUGAUUCCCACCCUGAAAAUCAUCCUCUGUGCUCAUGAAGAUAUAAUAAGGAUUUGUCAUAUGAGCUUGAAUGCAUGAUCUAUGGCUCCACAUGCUGUUAUUAACACUAUCUGGAGAUGAGGCCCCCCAAGUGUGACCAUUAUAAUUUAUUGUCGACUGUAGGGCUGUUGCAGUUUACUGGUGUUGACAAGCAGCAGACUGCCUGUGAACAAGAUCGAAGCAGCUCUCAAAGAGAUGACUCAGCGCUUUCUAAAAAAAAAAAAAAACGGAAACGUCAUGAUUUGUUGUAAAUGUCACAUUUCAGCAUGUGCCUGUUCAUGUGAGGAAUAUGAACUAUCGAACCAUUCUUUUAACUGUUUCCAGUUCGGUCAUGAUCUGUCUUAACCAGUUUAUACUUCAAAAUAAAAGCCCAGUUUUACAGCGCAACAAAUAAAGCAAACAAGAUUGAGAAUUUUCAAAAUAAAAGCUUGCCAAACAAUUAUUUCAUGAGAUAAUAUCUACUUAAAAUAAGUUUCAGAUUUUAAAAUUAAGCGAUUUUAGACAUGAUAAAAAUUCAAUAAUAACAUGGUAAUUAAGUGUGAGUAAACUGACUGCCAUUGUUUGGCUUUAAAAAUCAAUGGAGCUAGCUCAGUGAUGAAAGAAUAUCCUCAUUUAAAGUCAAGCUCAUCUUCAGGAUUUGAAUUGCAGAUGUGAUAAAUAACCAUGCCUGCAAAAACGACUUUAAUUGAUUUCACGCCAUGUAGAAUAACACAGCUAAACACCGUCCUUGGCAUGCCCACCCGUCAUGUUUUUAGCAUGUUCACUCCCCCCUAAUUCCCCUCGUGGGAUUAGCCAUGUGUGUGUUAGCGCACGCCCAGGACUUUCACUAAGACAAUAGGAAUAAAAUUACAGGCAAUUUAUUCACUCUGACACAGAUCAAACAAGGAAUGUGAAGUACUUCAGUGGAUAAUAUCAUCAAGUUGGGGUUGUCCUUGCGAAGGGAUAAACAAUUAAAUUAGCCCCUUGGUGCUUGUUAAGUUUACAAUUUCAUUCUGUGGCUGAAAGGAGAAUUAGGUAUUCAAGACAUGCACCAGAGUCGAAAACACAUCGGAGAGAGAGUCUCUGCCCGAAGCACACUGACAAAAACAGUCUGCUCGGUUGAUAUUUAGCUCUAUCUCGACUUUGAUAAGAUCCAAGCCUUCUUAUCCAGUUAUGUAAGGACAAUUUCCAAGAACUUGAAAGUGUGUUUUAUCAAUAAUUCUACACUGAUUCAGUCAGGAAUCUAUUUUAAACUAGAUCCAACAUGAGAUAGUGGAGUGUUAUCAUGCUUUGGUCACAUUAGUUUUUGCGUAUGUGCCCUCUUUAAAUCAGAUUUUCAGUUCUGUUUUAUAUUACUUAGUAUCUUUUGAUUUGACGUUUGGAUUAUUUGGCAGCUUUGGCAUUAUCAGAGAGCCAGAAUGUUAUCUUUUACCAAUUUAAAUCAAGUAGACAGAUGUGAUUCUUAGUCUUUGGUGCAGAUUUUAAACUAUUAAAGGCAAAAAGUCGGUAAUGGACCAUUCAAGGAAAUCCGGGGUUAGGUUUUGGACAUGUUUGACACAUUAAAUUGCAAAAAAAUACAACAUAAAAAUCAUGUUUCUUGUAGAAUAUCUGCUCAGUAUCUCCAACCAGAACAACCCACUACACAUGGGAAUAUUUUGGUAUUGCUCCCUUUCUCAUGCUGUUUCAGAAGACGUCAUGUACACAAAUAACUAACAGGAAACGAUGUAUGUAUGUCAACCAGAGUAAUUCCCAAUAAUCUUUGUCAUCCUUUUUGUCAGUGCAAUGUUUGACAUUUGAAAACUGCAGUAAUGGGCACCAAAGCUCGAGGGAACAGACUGAAAACAUAAAAAAGCAGAUUUAAUACAGGAUACAAUCUAAUUGCCUGAGUUGCCUUAGGGGGAUGUCAAGGUUGCAUGUAGCUGCUUUGACAAAAACCCCAAAACAUCAGCGUGUGUUCUUGUCAUACAUCCAUGAAUUGGGUGUAUGAAUGAAAAGCUGGGCAGGGGGAAGGAAUCACCACGAGACCUCUCCACAGUAUGGACGGUAGACACCUGGUAAAGCCAGGUGUCCACGAACCAGCAGCUGGGAUGAAGCAGGAUGUGAGCCAGGUAGUGGCUGCAGGGUUUAGUUUAAGUACAGGAUGAACAUAUGAUAGCAAGCCUUGUUAGGGAUCAGAUUGUAGUGAAAUGGAGGCGCACAGGUGUUUGGAUAUGUGACUGCUAACAUGCAAAUAACAACCGACAAACUGCAAUUUACUUUUCGGUUUUUCUUUGCUCGUGUUUUAAAGUUUCAUACAAAAAAUCAUCAAUCUUGUCGCUGAUGUUCCUGUUUGUUUCUGUUUAUCAUGUAAAGGCAUCGAUAUGAAUUUAACCCGGGAUUUCCACCACAUCCAGAGCGGCACUGAUCUGGAACGGCAGCGAUUUUCACCGUACGCCAAUUCCAACCAGAUCCGCUUGUGAGGCGAAUUUCAUGGCGGAUUACGGGCAGCAGGAAUCGCGAGAACUCACAAGUACCCGCAAAUUCAUGUGCAAUCGCGCGAUAUUAACUUGUCUUUAGCAACGUAGGCCAACCAUAUAUGCAGUAGAUUGUGUCCGUAUGCCAAUUCCAACUAGAUCCGUUUGUGAGGCGAAUUUCUUGGUGGAUUACGGACAGCAGGAAUCGCAAGAACUCACAAGAACCCACAAAUUCACAUGCAAUUGCGGAAUUACAAGUCAUCUUUAGCUACAUAGGCUAACCAUAUACGCAGUAGAUUGUGUCCUUCCAGAGGAGGAAAUCUACUUGUAGACUUGUAAAAUCAGUAUCUCCUCAUCCAUGGUGUUAUCAGGAUAAAAUGCUGUCAAUAAACCUUUCACUUGUUCGUCUCCGCCCGUUCGCAUGGUGUGAAACACAAUCCGCCUGAUACACACCGUGUUUUAUUUUGAAAAGAAGCCGAAUGUUUUAUUUUGAGUCUGUGCCCGACUUCCUUCCCAGCAUGGACUUAAGGUUUUUACACACCAGGAGUGUUUUUGUCGUGCGAUUAUUUCGGACGUCAAUAUUUUUUCUUCGAACCCGUAUCCUGUCAAUACAAGCGUUCACAUCAGCGACGUUUUCCCGUCCUGCGAUAUUGCGGCAUUCAUUUUUUCAGAUCACGGUAGAUUUUUCUUAAGUUUCACAUACUGUGUGUCCACUUCUGACCAAUCAGAUAGUGUUGUUGUGACGUCUGAUUCACAGGUAUAUCCAACAUGGCCGACCGGCUGAUUGUUUACGUGUUGGAGAACAGAGUGCUUUUUGAUAAAAGACACAAAUAUUACAAAGAUAACGACCUGAAGGAGAACUUGUGGAGAGUCAUAGUGUCGGAUUUCUCAUAUGACGAUGGUUUGUGAGCUUUAACAGUUUGCUAAACGUCUUUGUUUUAACUUUCAUCUGUGCUAGUGUAAGCAAACGGUUGUUACCAUAGUUUCAUGUGCUUAUCUUAUCGCCUCUGAUUGGCUUUAAGUGCUGACUGUUUGGCUUGAGCAUGUGAUGACAUUUCCAGCUUUUCUAGCCAAUCAGAAGCGAAGGAGGCGGGACUUUCCCCGGGAAAAGUCUUCCCCGGGAUGCGUCUUUCCCCCCACGGAUAGUCCCAAAUUUGCAUUGGGCUUGAUGUGGAUAGUCAAUCGCGUAAAAAUUUGCCUCCGAAUAUUUCAUAAGGACCCUAAUCUGUGCUGAAUUUAUGCGGCGUGCUCUGGCAUUCGGAAAAAAUAGAACUCUUACGAUCAGCUGAGAAGUCCAGCGAUCUGCAGCGAAACGGAAAGAAGCCAGUAGAAAUUGACACAUUAACUUGAAUGGUUACGAUCAGUUACAAUUGGCGAAUACGGCCUUUUCGUAACUGUUCCGGUUGCAGUGGAAAUUGCCAGUAAUUCUGGUUUAGCUUUAAAACACUGAAGAACAAACAGAGGAGGAAUCCCAAACAAUUGUCAACAGUGUCAGUGUAACCCCCUAAGUGGGUAAUCCUUUUUGGACAAAUCCAGUGGACUCCUGUAAUCCCUGCCUAACUCUCAGCUGGCCGGCCCCAUGAGUGCCGUUUUAAAAUAAAAACCCUUCAAGAUUGUCCCAGUAAUCCUCGUAUCCUGUCCUAUUACUGCCACUUGUUUCGGGGGGGAUCGGCGGUUUGUUGAAGGUUGUGUUUGUGUGUGUCCUCUUUGUAUCCCACCCUUUAGCACUUGAUAUCAUUUUGAGGAGGACUCCAAACUUCACUUGGGCUUUAUCUCGCAAUGUGUUUUACGGCAUUGUGCGAUAUGCUAAUAAGUGAAAAUGGGGGGACAAUAUUAUCAAAGUAUUAUGUAUCUCAUUCACCCAAAAUGUUCAUUAUUCCAAGGGCUGCUCUAUGCAAUCACCAGCAGGCAGAUGGAUGAAAUUAAACUCCUAAUGAUGCCUCCAAUGUGUAUUAAUUAUGUUAUAACAAGGCUUUGUGUGACUUCAAGUGCAGUGAAAUGACUGAGAAUAGCAUUUGAGCCUUUCAAUUAGCGGCUGAAAAGAGGCCUUCGCAUUCAGUGUCGACUGCUGCACGCUGGGGCCACAUGGGCCUGAAAUUCAUUUACGGUCUGAAUAAAGAAGUUGUUGCCCUAUCUGCUUCGGGCGCAGCUGUAUUUGAUACGCACUCUGGACUGACCAAUUCAAAAGAGAAAUUAAAUAUCCACCUCAUUUUGUCAGAAUUGGGACAGCGCUCACAAAACUAGGGGACUCUGAUUGGGGCCAAAGUCUCUAUUUUGCAGAAUGUGUUGGUGUGUUAGUAAAGAGACUCACACACUGAGAUCUUCCCUGGCAGUUCGUCAAAAUUGGGUAUUGUGGUUCAUCUCUCUAAGGGCGAUAGAUAACAGAUAAAGACCCUGACACAGAUUCCUCAUAAGACACUUAUAAAAACGUGUGUUUUUUUAUAACAUUAAACAUUUUUUAAGGUGAUUGAAUUUUUACAAAAAAUUAAAAUCAAGACCAGUUUAAAGCUCCUGGUGGGAUUUGUGAAACUGUUCCUAAAUCAAGCUGAAAUGUCUACUUUUACUACCUUUCUAUGCGACAUACAGAUCAACCAUUCUUAAAGCUCCAAUAAGGACAUUUUGGUUUAUGUUAGUUUUGGCGCCCCCUGUUGGCUACAGGAGUAUCAUUUAACAAAAACUUAGGUAACACUUUACAAUAACCCUGACUUAUAAAUGGUAAAUAGACCAUUUAUAAAUGGUAAGCAGAUAGUUUAUUCAUGUUUAAUCAUCAUUUAUAAAUAGGACAUAGACCAUUAAUAAAUUGUAAAUUUUACAAUUUUAAAAACCUAAACCUAACCCUAACCCUAACUUUACAAUAACCAUCUAAGUAAAGUUUAAUGGUGGUUCAUAAACCACUUGUUAAUCAUUUACAAAGUAUUACAAAGAUCAGUUGCAACUUUAAAAUAACCAUCUAAGUAAUGUUUGUAGAUGGUUUAAAAACCAAAUAUUCACCAUUUAUAAAGUGCUACUGACACACGUGUUAAUCUAGAUGUUUUACAACUAAUAUUUAAACCCUAUAUAAACCUUUAAUCAAUAUUGCAUUAACAAUUAGUGAAAAUUAUUAAUCAUAAUUUUAAUGCUUGUUAAUGAUCAAGAAAAUAUUAACUUAGAUGAAUAACAUAUUUAUUUGCCAUUUAUAAUUGGUCUAUAUGCUGAUUUUAAAUGAUGAUUAAACAUUAAUAAACUAUCUAUUUACCAUUUAUAAAUUAUGGUUAUUGUAAAGUGUUACCAAAACUUAAUCCUACUAAUUUUUGCCGGUCAAAUUCAUCACUUUUUGUGAAUAAUUAAUAUUAGAAAUGUUAAAACACGACUAUCUAUUUAGAAGCUUCACUUACACCUAUCCCCUCUCACUGGUUUUAGGUGUUGAAAAUUCCAGUUUAAAAUGCAUAAAGUUUGUUCCCGAUGGUCAUGUUUGCCUCUGUGUGUCAUCAAAAGGCAUUAACAUAAAUUUCUGUUUCUUUUUUAAGUGUUAAAAAAGUUCCCAGAUGAGCUUUAAGUCAUUAUUUUUUAUUACCAAAACAACUCCCAGAGGGAGGUUAGCAGUUUUGUGUGUAUAAGAAGUGCAUACAGUUUAUUCUCAUGUCAGGGUAAGUGGCAACUCCUGGCUAAAAUUAUGCAAACUCCACUCAUGAGUGGUCCUGUGAAAGCAGAACUCUCUGUCAGGGGAACUUAAUUUUAGCAAGACUCCAGUUUGAGCUACUUCUUUGUUCCUUUUUGCAAUUUCACCCUCAUUUCCCUAAUUGUUCAAGGGUUUCCUCCCAGAGACUGUGUCAGUGGCCCUUCACUAAUCCCCUGACCCUCCCUCGGUUUAUUGAUUUCCUUUGCUUGGAGUCUUAAUUUUAAUACUCUACCGGCCUCAGUUUGUUUGUGAACCUUUUGCGACACUUUCUCUGCUUCUCCUUUUGUACUUUAAAUGACUGUUGGGUCCAACAUGAUUACAUGGUGUUAUGUAUAAUCUAAUAAAGCUGAUUAUGUUGAUUUGAUGCCAAGAUUGCUUGAUUAUUGUAAUCUGUUAAAGCCUCGAAAUAAUACCACUGGUUUCAUAAAGGUCACAGAUAAAUAACUGAUUGGCAAUGGAUACAAAUAAAAAGUUAAAGUUAAAGGUGGGGUAGGCAGGAUUCCGUUAAUAAAGCAUCUUUUUUUGUGGUGUAUAUACAAAAAAGCUUUUAAUAUCAGUCAAUAUAUCAGUCAAUGUAUUUUUUUGUUCUAUUUUGCAGCUCUUUCCUGACUUUCUUUUUAAUUCAACAGUAUAUUCUCUCGACUGAGUCAGCCCCUGACUCACCUUUUGUUAUAUUGAUCUCCUCGACUCUCAGUAUCAACUUGUAUAUUCCCCUGUUUGAGUUUGUUUGUGCUCCAUCUCUUAACUCUCCGGUUACUUCCUGUGUUCCUGCUCCACUUCUCUCCCCGCUUCAGCUCCUGUUGAUUUGACAUACUUGCAUUGGAUUGUUGGUAACACAAUAGAGGCAGAUUAAGUUAAUUUCUUUUCAUUAUAUCGACUGUCGUCUGCUACAGCCUGAACUGUAACUACGGCUGGGAUAACACCGGAUCACAGGUUGCUUAUAAAUUGUAGUAGAUCAUUCUGGUUCUGAUUAUGAGUAUGAGAGACAGUCAAUUUCAAUUCCACUUUCUUUCCUCACUUUAUUGACCAAUACGAUGAUUUUUUAAGAGCAGUUCUUAUUGAGUCUGCUUUAGCAAUUUUUUUACACAAUCAACCAGCACCGGUAUAACCAUUCUCCUCCUUUUAUAAAUUCGCUUUAUUGCAAUUUUCACAAUAUCUCUGUUGAGCGAGGCUUUUAUUGUAUCAGAUAUUUCAUUUUAGUAGCUUUUAACUGUUAUUUCCCAUCUAUUUUUCUCACAGAGUGCGCAGCUACUGCGAUUCUCUUCAUAUUUUUGUGAAUAUACAGUAAAUAUCGUAUCACACCUGUGUUUUGGAAAUCUUAGUAAUUUUUAGGAUGAGUUUCCAUCGACAUGCAAUUCAAUUUGACACCAGAUCUGGAUCAUAUAGUGUCCUUUCAAGGCCAUGGAUCAGUAACUGUGAUUCCCACUUUAAAGAUGAUGGAGUAAUGGGAAAAUUAAGGUUAAUUUUCCUCCUUAAAUGUCAACAAAAGCUUGUGCACGGUCCAUUUGGUCUGAAAAUAGCCCAUCAUAGGCUCCCAUUCCCUCCUCUUUUUCACCACCCCCUCAUUAAAGCCGGCUUCAGAUGGGAGCGUGUUUGCGACCUGACAGCAACAACUCACAUAAGCCGUUUGUUUUCUCUUUUACUCUUUCUUUGUGAGUUUUACCCAAAAUCAAACCUUAAACUAUCAGUUCUUGAAUGACAAGCGUCACUAUUGAUUCUUUAUAGGAAAAGUAAAGGUAGUGUGUGAUCUACUGUAAGUUAAAACUAAUACACAUGUACAAUAAACGUGUAAAAUGUUCUAAACUGAACAGGCUGUUUGCCACACAUAUACAAGAGUGAUUCUGGGGGUUAAGCUUUUCUAAAAAAAUAUAUUAACAUUAAAAACAGAUCCUGGAUUUAGGCCUAAAUCUGCAUGUUGUUCUGCAAAUGUUAAUAUCAGCGUUAAUAUCAAGCUAUCAAGCAGCAUACCCACAUCCUCUGGUAACCCCGCUGAUCAUUAUAGGGUGUAUGAACUUAAUAACAGGGUCACACGGCAGACUAAUUGUCUCUGAUGUGACAGUCAGUGUCUUCAACAGAGUAUUGGCUCACAAUACAGAAUUACUGAUUUUAUCUUCAGCUAUUUUCUUACCAAAAAUAUGUUUAGUAAAACAAUUUACCUAUUCUUUUUUAAUGAGAAUGAAGUUAUUGUUAAAUUAUUAUAAAAUGUUUGACUAUAUUAUUGUUAGAAAAUUACUCCCCCAAAUAAAUUACCCUGAAGUUUCUUACAUACCGGGAGUGUUUUUUCAUGUGACUCGGACGUCAAUACUUUUUUUUGAUCCCGUAUCCUGUCAAUACAAGCGUUCACAUCAGUGACAUUUUCCCGUCCUGCGAAAUUGCGGCAUUUAUUUUUUCAUAUCACAGUCGAAUUUUCUUAAGUUUCACAUACUAUGUCCACUUCUGACCAAUCAGAUUUCGUGUUGUUGCGACAUCUAAUUAACCGGUAUAUCCAACAUGGCCGACAAGCUGAUUGUUUACGUGUCGGAGAAGAGAGUACUUUUUGAUAAAAGACACAAAUAUUACAAAGAUAACGACCUGAAGGACAACUUGUAGAGAGUCAUAGCGUUGGAUUUCUCAUAUGACGAUGGUUUGUGUGCUUUAACAGUUUGCUAAACGUCUUUGUUUUAACUUUCAUCUGUGCUAAGUAACUUUAGCUCGUAAGCUAACCUGUUCAGAUACAACAUACCAUAUGUAUUUUCACUGUCUCAAACUCAAUCGUGUUGCUGUCACAGCACCAUUAGGUCUUGGUUGUUACCUUACGUUUAUGGAUUAUAGUUUAAUGUGCUUAUCUGGUACUGGCCCCGACUCAGUCCAUGCUAUCAUGACAGACAGACAUCUCAACACUAGUGUCUAAUUAGAACUGAAAAACAGUCAGUCUGCUGUUGUGUCAGUCUUCUCACUUCCACCCGGGAUGCGUCUUUUUCCCCCCGGAAAGUCGAAAAAUCGCAUUGAGCUUGAUGUGUACAGUCAGGCACGUCAAAAUUUGCGAUUUCAUGAUUUCGCGUCAUAUAUUUGCAUCGUUCCAGAUGUGUAAGGACCUUAAUACUUUCACUUUACCUCAAUUACUCUUUUGCGAUUUCUCCUCCAUUCAUGACUUAAGAGCAUGCCGAGUCCCCUAUGUUCUCACAGGCUGAUAUUUUCUGAGGCUGACAUGUGCAAAAACACUUUUUCUUGAACCUUCAUGUCUUGGUUUUAAGACUGCUUGAAUGGCAGUCUAGUUAUAGAUUUUUUAAACAAGAUUCUUAAUACGACAGCAAGUACACUGAAUAAACUGUAAUUUCAGCACCAGCCCUGAACUUUUGCUCAGCUUUCAUUGUACAUAUCUAUACAAAUAACUGGAUCGAGCGGCAAAGUAUCUAAGUUCAAAGGUUCAGUAUUUUCCUUUAACUUUGAGUACAGAGUAAUCAAAAGGAGGAGAUUUAAUCACCAGUUCUCCAAAGAGUUGAGUUCGAGCAGUUUAGUUCCUCUUUUUGACUUGUAGCAGUAUUAAUUUACAAUGAAUUAAAGCAGAAGAAAUCACAGGCUGAACAGGAAUUAUUUACAUUAUCUCAAAUGUUUAAAAAAAAAUUAAAUUGCAGCUUAAAUUCAAUCCCCCCCUCCCGUGAUAAUUCAAAAAACUUAAUACUUUCCUCAAACUUUUCUUUAGAUUGCAGACACUGGGGGUAAUUUCUCAUCCUGCUGGUAAUAUGGAGCCAGAGGAAUCAUAUUAUAUCUGAGGGCAGUGAGGCAAACCAUCAUUUGAAUUCUCUUUAAUAAGAAGCAGACAUGGCUUAAUUGCUGCUGUAGUUCAAACAGAAAAAAAAAAAGAGGACCCAAUUUUUCUCUUGCUGGGGGUUUUGUUUGUUGCUGACAAAGGCCGCAUUAGCUGUGAAACAGCAGUUUCCGACAACAGCAAACAAACAGGGGGGUGUUGCCACAGAGCAAAAACAAGCCAAAUUUUUGUAUUGUGCUUUGGGUUACGCUUCAAAGGUACUAUCUCUAACAAGCUUGAACGCUUUGAACCUCUGUGAGGCGAGUUUUUUUCAUUAAACACAUAAAAAAUCAGAGGGAACAUAAGUUGACAUUUCUGUUUGUACCCAUGCUAGUAGCAUACCGCAAGAGUAAAAUAUAUUGGUCUAUUGCUUGGUAACAGACUGAAAUAUCUCAUGACCAAUUGAUGCAAUGAGACUCUCUACACUUAUUAUGGGGUGUCAAGCACUUUCCCCUAAAAGUGCUUGACGCGUGAAACUGAAUAAACCUUUACCGUACUAAUUACCCCCUUUUUUCCUCUCCAUAGCACCCAUAGUAUCUGCAGCACAUUCAUUAGCAUCACAUCAGUGCUUUAGCAUAAAAUGCCGGAAUAUGCCUUUAAGCGUUAAAUGAACUAUCAUUAGAUUCAGUACCUUCACCCAUGUUCCUUUGGGCGUUAUUGUGUGAAUGAGCUCUUCAUAAGUACAGAUGUUCAAACCUGCGUGGUUACUUUGGAAUGAGCUGUAAAACUGUUUUGGUCUCUUAGAUUUACAGUAAUAUACCGUAUAAAUCAUCACGCUCACAUUUUAAAAAAAAAUUGAUUUUGACAAUAAAGUCUUUUUUGUACAAAAUAAAGGAAUUGUAAGAUUAAUAUUUAUAUGUAUUUAUAUAUUUAUAUAUAUAUUUGACUUUGAAAUUAGUUAAAACUGCUUUGGUCUCUUUGAUUUACAGUAACAUCCCGUAAAUCAUCAUGGUCACAUUUAGGGAAAAAAAAAAAACCUUAAGAUUUUGACAAUUAUGUCCUUUUAGUACAAGAUUAAGGAUUUAUAAGAUUUAAAUGAUUAAUAUAUAUGUAUGUAUUUUACUUUGAAAUGAGCUGUAAAACAGCUUGGGUCUCUUAGAUUUACAGUAAUAUCUUGUAUAUUACAUAACAGUUACUUUUAGAAACACAUUCAAAUUUUGACAAUAAAGUCCUUUUAGUACAAUAUUUAAGAUUUAUAAGAUUUACAAGAUAUAUAUUUAUAUAUAAAAAAUUUGCUUUGAAAUGAGCUGUAACACUGCUUCGGUCUCUUAGAUAUACAGUAAAAUCCCGUAAAUUACUUCACUGUCACAUUUAGAAAAAACAUUAAGAUUUUGACAAUAAAGUCAUUUUAGUACAAGAUUUAAGAUUAAUAAGAUUUAUUAAUAUAAAAUUUACUUUGAAAUGAGCUGUAAAACUGCUUUGGUCUCUUAGAUUUACAGUAAUAUACCGUAUAAAUCAUCACAGACUCACAUUUAGAAAAAACAAAGAUUUUGUCAAUAAAGCCUUUUAAGUACAAGUUUUAAGAUUUUUAAGAUUUAUGAGAUCAAUAUACAUAUAUUUUACUUUGAAAUGAGCUGUAAAACUGCUUUGGUCUCUUAGAUUUACAGUAAUAUCUCGUUUAUUACAGCACGGUCACAAUUAGAAAAAACAAAGAUUUUGUCAAUAAAGCCCUUUAAGUACAAGUUUUAAGAUUUUUAAGAUUUAUGAGAUCAAUAUACAUAUAUUUUACUUUGAAAUGAGCUGUAAAACUGCUUUGGUCUCUUAGAUUUACAGUAAUAUCCUCUAACUUACAUCAUGAUCACAUUUAGAAAAACACUAAGAUUUUGACAAUUAAGUCCUUUUAGUACGAGAUUUAAGAUUACCAAGAUUUAUAUGCGUAUAUGAUUCCCUUCGCUAAUGUCAGUGGUCCAGAUUCUUUCCUAGGAGUUUAAACUUUGCUCAUGAGUAACUCUGAGGAUGAACUGAAUGUGCAUACUUCAAACUCUGGCAAACUGUGACACUCUGGAGACACAUUCACUGUUAAGUCUGUGAGUGCUGAGGGCUGUCAAAACCCACAAUUCAUCAGGUCUUCCCGAGGUCUCAUGUUGACUUUCUGCUGACUUCCAGACAGUCCACUUGGGGUUCAGGCUUCAGCAGACCAUUUGAUUUAAUUACCCCAGAAGUCGGUGAAAUACGAGCCGAGUACUGUAAAGGAGCCCCUACAUUUUUAAAGUUAUUUUUUCUCUGAUAUUUUCAACCUUAUUAGAAAGGACAGCUGAAAAGACAUGAAAUAUGGGGAGGAGAGAUUGGGGAAGACAUACAGCUAUGGUUUUUGGCCAGGGGAUUGUGGCUGAGCCAAUCACUGGGCCAUCCAAUGACAUCAAUGGUUUCCUGAGACAACCAACUACUGUAUGCCAUACUUUCUUCUUCUUUCUUUUCCAACUGGUACAAAAGUCGCAGUUACAUUAAAAAAAUUGGCGUCCUUUCCUGUUAGCAUCCUUAACAAUAACGGACUAUAACAACAGCACUUAAAGUCAUGUCAGUCCUGUAAUCCAAUCAAAUCCAUAUGUUGAGGUUUGUGGUUGCUUCAUGUCUGUUUUCUUCGAUUUGGUUGAUGCUUUUAACAUUCCUCUCUUGUUUCUACAUGUUUUUCCCUUUUUGUCUACCUUUCUUGGCUGCCACUCAUCAGCCACUCACCACCAAUCUUUAUUUCUGUGCACAAAACAUGUGCAUCAAUAUUCAUUGUCUGUAUCUUUCUUCUUUAUUCCUCUGCUCUCCAUUCUCUCUCCUCUCUCCAUCAUUCUCCUUCGCAUGUCUCUGCCUUAAGUUCAAAGUAAGACUUGUUUACUUCCUCCUCUCCUUCAAACCAUGCUUGCUCACUCUGCUAGCUCGCCUCCCAUCCUUUCAAAUUUCCAUCUCUCCCUUCCAUGACCCUUUGCACCUUUUUUGUCUUGACAGCACUCUGCGGCUCACCCUCACGCCCCUUCCUCAUCUCCUCUCUCCCCGUUCUCUCCAGACUUCUGUAAUUUCCUCUCCUUUUCUCCCCCCUCGCCCGCCUUGUCAUUUUCGCUCCUUCAACACUUCUUUCUGUUCCCCCUUUUUUUUUCUCCCCCCUCCUCCCCUCGUCUCGCCCUCAUUCGCCCCUGUCUUCAUUUAGAGACUUGGUGUGGCUCUGAUUUCUUUAAAUAGCUCUCAUUGCCUCCAGGAGGUUGAGGCAGCAGUCUGGUUCUGCUAAUAAAUGACAGCGAACAAAUGUGAACGCUGAAUCAACUGAAGGCGAGCACGUACGCGCACUUGCGUACAGCGAGUGCGUGUGCGUACACACUCAGCACAUCAGAUCACACAACAGUGAGGCACUUCUUUUGCAUAAAAGUGACAUGAUGUGACAUGCGGCUUAAAAGACAUUCAUGGAAAGACAGCUUAAAGGUGUGCGUAUGUGUGCGAGUGAGUGUCUUUCCAUGUGCCUGCUAAAAACAGGCCCGGCUUGUUCCAUCUUAUAUCUCUCCCAUUCUUCUCCCUUUUUGUUCACCCAGUGUGGAAAUAAAUGACAAUAAUGGAUUGCACAGUCCUAGUAAUUUUGCACAUUAUUUCUGAGCCAUUGCUUUGCAUAAUGAAUGCCUGCUAAUGCACUUUUUUGUUAAUUCACCACAAAGGGUCCAAAAAGUCUGCUGUUAUGAAUCACUGCAGAGCAAUGCACGUAUUUAUUAGCAUACCACAUGCACAUUGUGUCAUUUGUAGACUUGAAAUGUAACCUGAAAGUGAAGGGGCUGAUAAGAAAGCAAGCCCCGUGUCUUUAUUUAUUGUUCCUCUGCAGCUCUGCUUUGCGCAGAUUUGUGUUAUCUCCUUAGUGGCUCUGAUAAAGCGUCUGAAUAUCUGAUUCAAUUUAUCUUAGAGGAUCAGUCUGGCUGGAUUCCUAGAUUUUGUCCUCAUUAUUUAUCUUUAUAAGUGGUUUACAGAGGGAAGCAGAUAGGAAAAGUACCACAGGACCGUAUAGCAAUGUAUUACAAACAGAGAACAGCUCCCAUAAGUCCAGUGGUAAUGUAGACUGAGGUAACCCCGAAAAUGCUGACGAUCAGUGUGGUUAAAAAAGCGAGUCUGGGGUCCAUGGUUUCCCAAAAAGAGUGCCAAACUUUGAUUGAAAGUCAUAUUGAUAAAGGCCUGACCGAUAUGGAUUUUUUGGGGCCGAUGCCGAUACCAAUUAUUAGGGGGAAAAAAUUCGGAUUACCGAUUAAUCAGCGGAUCUUUUCAAUUUUUUUUGAAGUUAUUAAAAAAAAAAAAAAUUAUAUAUAUAUAUAUACUGUAGAUAUCUACAGUUUACUUUAUACUGUAGAUAUACUGUAGGCUACUGCUCUUCACGCCGACAAGAAGACCGACUGAUCAAACUCGGACCAGAAAAGCGUCAACUACCCGAUGCCUCUGAUGCGGUGCCUCCGCGUCUUAACUCACGUUACUCAUUUCCGGUCUGGUCUCAUCUGGAGACAUUCAGCUGCCUCAGUAAGAGAAGUAGCUCAAUCAUGUAAUGUGUACUGUUGUUUAUUCUACCGUUACUAGCGCGGCUAACAGUGUAGCAAGGCUAAUAGCAGGUGGCUAACUCUAACGUUAGCUUGCAUAUUACAUGGUGCUUCACCGUUAACUCGGCGUGACCAAGACCAGCACAGCGGGGAACAUCGUGAAGUGAGUUGAACUGAAACUUGUUGACUUAUUGUGUAUUUCACAAGCUAGUUUAUUUACCGUUGAGGUGGACCACUCUCCUCCGUGCGUCCCUGAGCUGCCUGCUUCAGAUCCGUCACUCUGCUGUGCUGUGAGGUAGUUAGUGGAUGAAGAUUGUCAUGAGGUCGCUGCGCCAUCUACAGGAUAAGUCGGGCAACUGUUCAAAUGGCGGAACAUUUUCGAAGUGCAACCAAAUCUUAUUUUCCACAUUUUAUUUCUGAAAAUAUCGGUGAAAAUCAUCGAGUUUUAGCUGAUUACUGAUUAGUCUCAAUUGGGCUAAAAUUGGCUGAUUUAUUCAGCUCACCGAUAAAUCGGUGGGGCCCUAAUUAAAAGUCACAUUUAUGUCGUUUAAGAUGAUCCGAAUCCAAACAAGCCAAUCAGCAACAUCAAUGAUGGUUUUUAGGUCCUAUCUUUUAAUAACUGGAUCUGGUUAUCCUUGCUAGAAAUGUCUGAGUUUCUUUUUUGGAUAAGUUUUAGAAAACAUUAAUGCUACCUUUUUCCUGUCUUUCACCAAAGAGUCCUUUGAAAAUGAGUGCUUUAAAGUGCUUUACCAAACCUUUAAAGGUCAUGCCUCAGUGUGAUAUGUUCCUCCUCAGCAUCUGAACACUGCAGUAUAAACUACAACAAAAAGAAGACCUUGAUGUAACUAUCCUUUAAAUCUCUUUGGAUGCUGGUAUUGAUCACAUUCACUCUCGUCACAGCUGCUGCUUGCUACAGCACAAUAUGGCACCACUCACUGGAAGGCUUCAAUAUUCGUGUUAUUAUAUGUAUGAAAUGAAUCAAAAGUGUAAUUUUAAAUGAAGUCUUUCUCUGACAGAGCAUAAGAUUACCUUGAAUGAGUCUAAUUUGAAUCACAUUACGUUUCCUGGUAACUGCUGUAUGAGUAGUAGUGGUGGGCAAAACCAUUCAUUUCAGUGAACCGGACCAUUCCGGUUCGUUCAGUAAAAAGAUUCGUUAAUUUCAGUCAUUUCGGUCAAUUGGUCGUUAGUCAGUCCGUUCGCUCAUGUUCACGUUCGUUCAGCGUCUGAACGAAUGUGAGCGAACGGACUGACUCGACACGGCUGACCGGGUUUAUGCAGGGGGAGAUCUGUUCAGACUCUGAACGAACGAGAGCCUCUUAGCUCCCUUUGUGACAAUAACAUCAAGUAUUUCCAACAGAUACGUCUUUGCUGACAUUCAAAACACAGAGAGAUCUAAGAAUAUGUAUUCAACAGCUGUGCGACUUGGGACAAUCUCAUGCGCAAGUUUCCAGGUAACGGGGUCAAUUUUUACACCGAAAAACCGGCAUGUUGACCCAGCUAAACCAAGCUAUAUAGCUAGGCUAGCACAUUACAGCACAUUACAGUCAGCUCAGUACUGCUGCUGCUUCUCUAAGCCCCACCCACCCACAGAGCGAGGCACGAUGAUAGGAUAAGACAGGCAAGCACGGAGAUAGUCCCACCCUAAGGAACGGUGAACUGACUCUUCAGCCAAUCAAAAGAACUGAACGGACUGAACGGAUCAUUUAGGGGGGGUGACCUCGUUCAUUUCGUUCACCAAAAAGAACUAGUUCUUUUGAUCUGUUCGUUCAUGACCGACACAUCACUAAUGAGUAGUUCAUUCUGUCUUUGCUCUUAAUUGGUAUUUGGGGAACCUGUCUGCAUGAUUUCCUCACCAUUACACGUUUCUCUCCGGGUACAGUCAGUUAGUGCUGGACCUCUUCUGCCCCAGGCUUUUGUGUAUCUCUUUUAAGACAUCCCCGGCUGCCAUUGUGUUUUCGUUUGGGAGUCUUAGUCAGUGUUCUUUGAGAGCUUCGUUUUAAAACAGCGGCUCAGUGAGGUGGUUAAUUUUCAUUUGUGCAUCUUUCAUAUUUUAUUUUCCCAUAUCCUGUCCAAUCAUUUGUGGUUUUUGUAUCACUGCACCAACUCUUUCAUCCCACUGGUUAAUUUCCAUAGAGUUAAGGUAAGAACUUCUCUCAUUUCGAAGCUACACAGAAACUUUUUUAAAUUUUCCUCUGUAUUGAUAGUCAUGGAAACAAUUACCUUUGUUGAUUGCAAACAGCACCACUAGCUCAAUGCCACUGUACCCGUAUGAUUCUCAUUAGAGCCUGAGUCCACUGAUGGCAACUUUUAGGGCCUGUGUGCACUGAAGGCAAUGCUAGUGCCUGUUUGCACUGGGGGAAACUUUUAGGGCCUGUGUGCACUUGGGGCAACUUUUAGGGCCUGUGUCUACUGAUGGCAACUUUAAGGGCCUGUGUCCUCUGAGGGCAACUUUUUUUAGGGCCUAUGUGCACUGAUAGAAACUUUUAGGACCUGUGUGCAUUGAGGGCAACUUUUAGGGCCUGUGUCCUCUGAUGGCAACUUUUAGGGCCUGUGUGCACUAAGGGCAUCUUUUUGGGCCUGUGUCCACUGAUGGCAACAUUUAGGGCCUAUGUCUUCUGAUGGCAACUAUAAGGGCCUGUGUACACCGAGGGCAACUUUUAGGGUCUGUGUGCACUGACGGAAAUUUUUUGGGCCUGUGUACACUGACAGCAACUUUAAGGGCCCAUGUCCACAGAUGGCAACAUUAAGGGCCUGUGUGAACUAAGGGCAACUUUUAGGGCCUGCGUACACUGAGGGCAGUUUUCAGGGCCUGUGUCCAAGUACAGCAAUUUUGAAGGCCUGUGUCCACUCAGGGCAAUUUUGGCACCAGUUGUGCCUAUUUUUAUACAUUUUUUAAAACACCAUCAUGUUCCCAGCACUCAGUGUACUAAGCCCAUACUAUAUGCUUGGCAUUAGCUGUUUUUCAUUACCAUAAGCACAGAUUGUUUGGCAGGCAAGUACAUAAACUUUUAAACACCUCUGGGAACUAGUGGUACAAAUUUAAAUGUCAAAUUAUGUCCAAGGAUGCAUGCCCUUGCAAUGUUUGGAAGAUGGUCAGGCUGAAAUCGCAGUUCAAGGUCUUGGGAAACAACCUGAGAAAGUUCAAGCACGGCAGAAAAUUGAAUAUGACUAACUGUGGGCCACAAAUCACUUGAAGGCUUCAUAAAAUAAAAUAAAUACACUGCAAAUCAAGCAGUGUUCAUUUAGUCACUACACUCGCCGCUGCAUGCACAAAAAAUCAUAUUGAUCCCUCGACUUAGUGGCAGGACACUCCAUUUGCUUGUCUGCCAACAACUGCAAUUUUUCUGUUUGAAAUUGCACGCUGACAGUUCCAAUAAUGACCCCAGAUCACAGACACAGAGAAGAACCGAAAAGAGGAGGCGCUCGGAGUGACCAGCCAAGCAUGGGCCCCUGACAUCAUUCACCAUAAACAUCGCCUUCAGCCAGGACCCUGAUAAGUCAUGGCGUCUGCUCCCCAUCUGAAGGGGUAAAUAUGGAUUUGAUAGAAAAUAUGAGGGGAUGGUGACAAGGAUGUGCUCUUGCAUGCAACUACUAUACCUGUCUGUCACUUCUGGAGUCUUCUCUGUUGUGUGUGACUUCUAAGUUUCACUUAUGGGAUCAUACCGGCUCAUAAAUCAGGCUGUUAUCGUCUCUAUCUUUAUAAAGAAUGCUCCACAUUCUCUGAGAAACUUUAUCCCUGAAAUUGGUCUCGGUUAUUAUUCCAAGCAGCACAAGGACGUCUCUGCAAGUCGCAUUGCAAAACCGGUAAUUAUGUGCACUUUGAAAGCUGAGAGAGAAUGAGAGAGUUCUGCUUUUGUUAUUCAGAUUUCAAGCAAUUGUAAUAAAUACUGUAGCUGAAACGGAAUAAAAAAAUAAUAAUUCCAUCAGUGGUGUACAAAUUGUUUUGUCACCAUUCUGGUUAGAAGUGAUCUGCUGCUAAUGCAUUUCUAAUUAAGGAGCAGUCUAUUUUCAGAGUUUUUAUUCCGUGUCAACUUGGCAGCAGCUUUAAUCAAAUCCCCGGCAGCUGUUUGACCUAAUGUCGUGGCCCUCUGCUUGACAACCUCUGACAGAUGCUAAUUUGUUAUUUUUCCUGCAAAAGGCAUCACCUGGAGGCAUGAUUGACACCCCAGCUUACGAACUCGUCUGUCAAGUGAGGCUGCGCUUGACUGAAGUUCGUGAUCCCUCUGGUGGGACCCUGGGAAAUAAUGGAUACGCAAUGUAUAUAUGGGAUAUAUAGAGUGUCAAAUAUUGAUUUCAUCUUUAUUAUUUAUGCUGUCCAACAGAAAUCAAUUCAAUAACAUGGGAUCAUAUAUAGUUAUUAACUCACAGUGCACGGCAUCAGUGUCACCGCCUGAAGCAGAGGAAAGGAAUCUUAACACAGUAACUCAAUAUCAAUUGAGGCAAUUUGAGCAAAUGUAAAGCAAAAAAAAAAGAGACCCUAUAGGAAUGCAAGGAAUUAUCAUCCCAAAUUCAGGUCCUUAACAUGCCUCCAAACUCAACGAAAUUCACACAUGCAUCAGGUCUGGUGAGAUAUCCUCAAUAUUUCACCUACAUGCAUGAUAAUCUCUAGGCAUAGACCUAUAAAAAAAACCCUCAUACCACCAUGAUGAAAUCCUAUGUGCAUCUCUGUGAUAUGUCUUUUUAUAUGUUAAACACAUGCCACAAGAAGAGCCUUCAGAUCUCAUAAAGUGUUAUUGCUCACACUGAGUAUAUGGUAGAUUGUCAGACUGUGCUUUCCGCCAAUGAAACAGGAAGUUAUUUAAAGUUCUUCAUACAAAGUCCACACAGUACAAAGUAAGAAAUGAAAACAGCAUAUUCUUCACCUAUAGAGCUACUUCAACACUCAAUCUAAAUCAUGGUCACAGUGAUUCAAACUGUGUGUGGAAAAAUGUUCACCUCGAAGAGCUUCAUGCCAUGGAGAGGAUAUUUUAAGAAUGAAUCAAGUCCACCCAGUAGAGUACAUGAACAUGUGACUGUAUUCCCAACAAUCAGCCUGCAUGUCACUCAUAGUAACUAGGGAUGUCUGCUCAUGUCAACCACGGUACAUACAGUUUGCCGUCUAUUUAUAGUCUUAUUGCAUUUCAGUCAGUGACACUGAUGGUCCUGUAAAUGAUACAUGUACCAAUGCACUGAUAGCCUGGAAGCAAAUCAGUGUUUAUUCUGAUAACUCAACAUAUAUGUAUAUUUUUUUUUGAAAAUUAAUUAACUAUAGCAAAUUCAGAGUGUACUGUGUAACUACUGAAUACCAUCCUUAAGAGGAUGGUACAUAUAUAAUCAUGAUUUAAGUCUUUAAAAGUCAAGCUAUAAAAAGUCCUAUAGGAUUAAAAAAAAAAAAAAAAAAGACUUUUUAUUUGUAAAAUAUUGUCUUGGCUUUGUACAACGGAGCAUUAGAGCCACAUUAAGAAAAGAGAAAAUUUUAGACCUCAGAAUUACUUACGAGAAUAAAGUCAUAACAAAAUAAUUACAAGAAUAAAGUCGUAAUAAACUCAGUUCUUAUGGAAAUAAAGUCGUAAUAAAUAAUUAUUUACGAGAAUAAAGUUGUAAUAAAAUCAAUUUUUAUGGAAAUAAAGUCAUAAUAAAAUCAUUAAUUACUAGAAUAAAGUUGUAAUAAAAUAAUAACUUACAAGAAUAAAGUCGUAAUAAAAUCAUUUCUUACGAAAAUAGUUGAAAUAAAACCAUUACUUACGAGAAUAAAGUCAUAAUAAAAUAAUUACGAGAAUAAAGUCGUAAUAAAAUCAUUUCUUACGAAAAUUAAGUUGUAAUGAAUCAUUAUUUACAAGAAUAAAGUUCUAACAACAGGUUGGAAUAGCUACUAGCUACGACUUUAUUCUCGUAAUGAUUUUAUUACGAGAAUAAAGUCGUAGCUAGUAGCUAUUCCAACCUGUUGUUAGUUGUUUAAAUGAGCGCUGUGGAGCGUUUAGAUGAAUUGAACUUCUGUAGCUAGGUUUCACUAACAAGGAGAUACUUAAUCAUUUGUCGUUUCAGCAUCACAUUGUCAUAAGUAUCAGAACACAUGCAAGAAAUGCAUCUUUUCCCAAGAAAGAAUCAGGCAGAACCAUAGCUUUGAAAUAUGACAAAUAAAUAAAUAAAAUCCAAUUUUCAAGUGGCAUGUUGUUUUGUUCUUACAUAACAUUUUAAUCUAAGCUUUAGGGCCUGUGUCCACCAAAUGCAGUGGCAAUGCCUUUUCCUCACAUAGAACCACAGUGCUUCUCAAUCAUAUAUGUGUAUACAUAUAUAUAUAUAUAUAUAUAUAUAUAUACACAUAUGUCAUACCUGCACUGCACAUAUGUACAUACCUUGCACUUUACUUCCUUGCACUUCUUAUUAGAUAAUAAACUGCAUUUCGUUGUUCAUGUACUUGUACUGUGGUUAAUGACAAUAAAGUUGAAUAAUCUAAUCUAAUCUAAUCUAAUCGCAAAACUCUUAGUGCAUGACAAGAUGAAAAAUACAAGAUAAGAGACCCCUAAGUGGUGAGCAUGAACCCUUUACCGGGCAAAAAUGGAACCACAUCUCACUGUCUUAACUAAAAAGAAGCAGGUCUCCUGGAUUUCCAAACAAAUACAGGCUCUGUCUCGAUGGGAACAUUUGCACCAUCCAUGCCAUUGAGACUUUUUGAUCCCUAGAACAAUAUUGAAUACUGGAUUAUGAACUGUGUAUCUCUCCACUCUUUCAAAGAGUUUUCCACUUUAUCCAAGUACAUUUAAAAUGGACUCAGGUCCUAGAGGAGCCACCAGUACCAAAUAGUACUUUUGGAUUGUCUUCAGUGACACCCUUCAGGUUAACACACAGUUUUUAAGUAUUUCUUUGUGAUGAAUAGAGUUAUAUGUUUAAAUGAUAAUGAUGACUGUGUGAGAACAGAGUGCUUGCAUUAACAAGUUCUCCUUUACUCUUAAAAAUCUUGGAUAAUAAAUUGCCUGAAUUUAUGGAGCCGGACAGUGGCUUUAAAUUACAGACAAUCUGGAGGGAAUAUUUUCACCCAAAAAGGAAAAUGCUUGCACGCUGUUAAAUUUGUGCUUAUGACUGUAAAGUGCACCACAGAGCCUAUAAUGUAGUUUGCAGCUGGUCAGGCAGCUUCUAUAAAUGACUCUGGACAAGUGCGCAGCACUGUAUGGAUGUUAUAAUUAAAGUGUGUGUAAUUAUGAUGUUUAUGAUAAUCCCAGUUUUCAUGGCAGCAGUUUAUCUCAAAAUAGGGGGACUGGGAUUGAACAUUUAUAACAGCAAUAAGAGCAAAUCUGUCAAAAGAAGUGACUUUUACCCAGCUGUGUAUAACCUUGUGUUUGCACCGUGUGGUACAGAAAGCAAAGCUCUGAGUACAGCAGGAGCAGUCAUGGUUUUGUCAAACAAAUCGUUUUUCACUCGCCACAAAUAGAUUCGGUACAAAAGUGAGGAACAAGAAAGAAAAUUAAGUCGGAGAGGAGACAAAGACAAGGUCAGAAAAUAAGGCGAAGCAGCUCAGAAAAACUUCAGGGGAGCUUUACAAGAGGGGUAAGGAUGAAUUGGGCCAAUCAGACGCAAGGGGCGGGGUUAAGUGAUGAUCAUGUCGUUGUGGUUUUAUCUAUGCAUGCUUUACUUUUAACCUGCAUUCUUAAGGUCCUUUUUUCGUGCGAUUAUUUUGGAUGUCAAUAUUUUUUUUCGAACCCGUAUCCUGUCAAUACACAAUAAACGGUCUCAUCAGCGAUGUUUCCCGUCCUUCGAUAUUGCGGCUUUUUCUUUUUUCGUAUCAAUUUUCUAAAGUUGUGCAUACUAUGAGUCCACUUCUGACCAAUCAGAUUUCGUGUUGUUGCGACAUCAGAUUCACGGUAUAUCCAACAAAUAUUACAAAGAUAACGACCUGAAGGACAACUUGUGGAGAGUCAUAGCGUCGGAUUUCUCAUAUGACGAUGGUUUGUGUGCUUUAACAGUUUGCUAAACGUCUUUGUUUUAACUUUCAUCUGUGCUAAGUAACUUUAGCUCGUAAGCUAACCUGUUCAGAUACAACAUACCAUAUGUAUUUUUCACUGUCUCAAACUCAAUCACGUUGCUGUCACAGCACCAUUAGGUCUCGGUUGUUACCUUACAUUUAUGUAUUAUAGUUUAAUGUGCUUCAAAAUUCGCCUCCGAAUAUUUCGUAAUUUCGUGUCGUUCCCGGUGUGUUAGGACCUUUAGUUUAAGCAACAUACUGAGUUCACUGACAACAAACCUCAUAAUUAUUUGUGAUCUCAUUUGAUGAUUCGCACUACAGAGUCAGUGCAAUUCUUUCCCAAGGAACACUAUUUCCCUCUCUAGGAUGCCAUUUUUAUGCGGAGUCAUGCCUCUAACCUAGAGAUAGACUUUUCCUCCGUUGCGGCUGCUGUUCAUCAACAACACCAAGCUUGCACUGAGUUGCAGCUGAGCACAUGAAACAACUUGAGGGAAUAGAAAAACUUCCCAGAGUGCAGUGCAAGUUUAAUUAAGUAAUGUGUUUUAGCACAUCACUUAAUAACACUCUCAGAUCUGGAAUCUUAUUAUCUGCCUUACCGUCCUCCAUUGUUAUAAUGCAGCGUUAUUGUUUGUGUCAAUUAUAAGCAAUUAAUAAAGUUGAGUCGUUUUCAGGCAUGUCCAAGCGGCAUCACUGUAAGUUAUAUCCUUCUCUAACGAAAUUAUUGGCUACCCAUAAGAGUACACAGAGGAAGAAUUAAGCACUGGGUUGUAAUUAAAACCAUAGUGUGUGUGUGUGUGCAGCCUGGAUCUAAUAUAGAAAGUGAUGGGUAAAUGGGUUUUAUAAUGAUAGUGUGACUUCUAAUUCCAUGCAGGACAGGUAAUAACUUGCAAGUUAUGGAACAGAACCGUGCAGUAUAGCUGCUAUUAGGGGAGAAGAUUGUGGCGCUAACUCUAUUUCAAUUAUACAUGGUAAUUUAAUAUCAAAGCAUAAUUAUAAUGAUUUUACACUUCACCUCCGAUCCUCCUUGUACCCUCUUUCUCUUUUCUCUUCUGCAGUCUUUUUUUUUUUUCUCUCCCUGCACUUAGUAGAGGUCUCGACACAGCUGGGGAACACUGGCUUGUUUCCAGGAUUGGCGAAGUGCUCUGAAGUUUUUUUUUUCUUUUUUUCUUUUGACUGGCUGAACACAGUUCUGUGAUGUAUUAACUGUCAAUAUGGGCAGCUCCGGCAGAAAAUCAAUGUCAUUAGAGUUUAAAAAACUUUUUAAAGUGAAUUCAUCAAGAGUCGUGGUAUCCAGAUGAACAUAAUGGCUGUAAUCUGUCAACCAAGCUGGAGCUCCUGAGAAGUGCGAAUGCUUGCGCAUUAACCAGGAUACCCUAGAUGUCAGUCAGGGUGUUUACAUGCACAGCUUAAUCGGACAAAGCUAAAAAUUUGUUGUUUUUUUUCGCCGAAUCUGACUUCUCUCCUUGUCCGUGUGUACAUGCUGCUGAGAAAAUCGAAUUAUUGACGUGAACGUGUCCUUCUCCUGAAAACUAGGGAGCGAUGUGGGUCUUUUCAGUGGUGCUGUUUCUGGUUGACCCCAUAUACCUUUCAACAACAACAGCAGGUCUGUGCCAGACGUCAAAGUGUCUACAACUGCUGCUGGGCAUUUUUGAGCAAGAAGAUGAAGCAUCAUACAGCGUUGUUUUUGUCGUAACAUAACGUAUGCGCUACUUUUUCUGCAGAUGAGGUGCACACUACUCCUCUUCUCUGGUGUUUUUGUUCUGGGGUUAUAGGGGCGUGGUGCACGUGCAUGCGCAUUGUCCAAUCAUACUCCGACUAUGCUGGUUACAUGGUAGAGAAAAUCGAAUUCCAAUCGCGUAAUCUGGGUGUCUUAAUCGGAGUUCACCGACCCCAUUUGAAGUUCUCAAACUCUGAUCAAAGUCGAACUAAGGUGUUUACAUGCACUUCAGUUGUCCGGUCUUAAUCGGAGAAAGGCAAUGAUUUGGUUUUCUCGAGUGUGAUGUAAACUUACCGACUAAAGGUCCUUACACACCAGCGAAUUUGCGGAACAAAGCGAAAAAGCGAGACGAAGAUGCGAAAAUAUUCGCCGGUCCGAAAAAUCGCUUUGCCUAUACACACCGGGCGCGAAGCGAAUAUGCGUAUAAAUUACCAGCCUCUUUCCCAUAGAUGCUCUUGGUGCCAGUGGUGGUGUGUGUCGUGUGAACUGCAGCCGCAUGGGUCUGUGACGUCAUCAACAACAUGACUUCUGAUUGGCCAGAGGUCUAGCAGGUCCAGAUAUUCGCCUGCAAAUCCCCGAAAAAUUCGACACAAGAGCGAAAAAAUAAGACACUUUUCGCCCCACGGAAAAAUCGCCGCCGGUGUGGAAGCUUGCAUUGACCCUAUGCUGUUUUAAAAAAAGGCAAAUAAAGGCGAAUAAUUCGCCUGGCAAAUUCGCGCCUGGUGUGUAAGGACUUUUAGUGCUAUAAAUUCUCUUCCGACAACAGCACACUGACUUUACACUAAUUGGAAAUUUCUUACAGACUUGAAUUAUUCUCACUGAAGACCAGCAUCAUCUUUUAAAUAAAAUUAAACCAUUUAUUUACCAGAAUAAGGAAUUUAAGGCUGCCUCCCACUGUGAAGUCAUGGUUUCUAGUCGUGCCAAAAAAGCUUCUCAAAUUAACGCCACUUUCCCUGAGACUUUAAUGGGUAUUUUGUGGACACUAAAUGAAACCAAACCUGCUCCUACCACUUCUCUGAAAGCUUAAAUGGUAAAUUUGGGAAGUGUAAUGAAUCGUUUCACACCGCUUUUCUGGUGCAUUUUAUAGUUUAUUGUGGAUACCAAAUGAACACCCACCUUUGACGAAUUCACAGAAUUAAUCAGGAGGUUUUUAGGUAUUUUGUGGCUACUUCAUAAACCUAAAUCCUUUAAAAAAACACCACACGUCUUUUCAGACUUUAAAUGAAAUCUGGAGCCUUUCAUAGGUAAUUUGUGGACUUGAUGAAACUGAACCCUUUGCAAUCUACUUAUACUUUUCUGUAGGCUUUCAUAGUUUAUUUCCAAAUAUCUAACAGAAUCGAACCGGUUUCAAAUUCACGCCACUUUGCUGGAGAAAAUUAUAGGUAAUUUGUGGAGGCUAAAUGAAAAUAAAGGCUUUUAUAGGCCAUACAGACUCGGUCUAUUGCAUCUGCUUUGUCUGGGCAUUUAAGUGGAAAAUGUUGGCUGAGCUACACUGGUCUAAGGAGGGACCUUGAGAGAGGCUGGAUAAUGAGUUAUAUCAGCAGGAAUUGAAAGAAAUCAUCUUGAAGUUUUCAUAUAAAAUUUAAUUUUAUUUAAAAUCAUAGACAUUUUUAUCAAUGUGUGGCUGUGCUGCAUUGUGUUUCACUUCACUCCAGCAUCAGCAAUCCUAAUCUUUGCACUGUAGAUACAGACGGGUUUUGCCAAGAUGCAUCAAUCAACAAAGGGCAGAUCAAGAGUUAGAAGAAGUCAGACACUGACAGACUGUUUGAAUUUUUUUUUUUUUCUCUGUAAAAAACAAACAAUAAACGCACUGUGUAGAGGCCAGAUCAUGUUUCGCUUAACUACACCGACAAACCAUCCUAAUGAGCAGGGCCAGGCGUGGAGUCAACGGGUCAGAGGUUUCCAGAGCUCAUCAUGGAGAUAGAAAACCACCGAUUCUGAAUGUAAAGCAGGAAAUCCUUGGUCUUGUGACCCCAGCUGUCUGAUGGUGCUCUGCCGCGCUGCACUCUGAAAACGAAGUGGGUGUUGAUGAAUUAAGAGGUAUGAAGCUGCACAGGAUCAAGGCUGAACACGGACCGGGUAGAAGUCCACCAUAACAGGGCCACAGGGAGUGCAAUCCUGGCCAGAACAGUUCUUUCACCAUUUAUGUUCGACUGUAAUCACAGACAAGGAUUGUAUCUUAUGAGAUUGAAAAAGCCUCAUUAGUGUGGAAUACAAUAACUCUAAUUUAUAUGAUGGUUUCGUGAUCUGCUUAAACACAAAUCUGCUAAAACAACUAAAAACACCAAAGCGAAUCCUCAUUGGCUCAUUCAUCAAUGAUUUCUCAAAACCUUGUUUAUUGACCUCUGCUUGCUAUCUCUGUGUCACGCAGAGCUAAAACAACGUGAUUUUUGACCGUCCCUUUUGACUAGACACCACUUUCAAUACAAUUACACAUCUAACCAACCAUGCAAGCAAACGAACUGCACAACAUUUGAACUGCUGGGUUCAACCUGGUCCAAUGAGCACUGAUUACAGGGAGGCCGGUACCAUUGGUCCCUCAUUAGUAACCACGAUAGUAACUCAAAGGAAGCACUCGCAAAAACUACACCAAUGAAGACAUCCAGCUCCAAUGACUGCCGUCUGAAUGACUCUUCAGAUUAGUUGGUGGGCUGUCACCCACACCUGACAGCGAUACAAACUGACAGCCAAGCUGGGGAAGCAACAAUGAAAGUGUGUCACAUCAAUUUUGGUUUUCCCACCUGUUGCGUGUCUUAAUUGAGGAAUCUCCCUGACUGACAAUCAAAGCGGCUUUCAUUUCUACCAUUGCCUCGUCGGCGCUUCGAAUGAGCGGCAGCAGUCUCGAGAGUAAUCAAAUUUGUAUUUGUACCAUUGCAAACGUAAAUUUUAAGAGGAAACUGGGAGACUUCAGUCAGAGUUUCAAAUGAAGGGGAUCAAUUUGAGCUGCCAAUGAAAACCGCUUCCACUUGUGCACCCAAGACCUCCCCACGCUGCUGUUGCAAAUGUAGUUAUUAACUUCCACGAACACUCAGGCGCCAGAUUGUACCCACUUGACCUAUAAGACCGACACUUGAUGCCGCUGGUUAUAAUGAGUUACAAUAAUUACCUUAAACUGCAGAGUUUCCUCCCUGUGAAUUGACUGCACAUCAAAAAAGAAUUAGCGGUUAAGUUGCUCAUUUUUAUGUUUCUGUAGACGGGGAUGCAAUUUGAUUCGCAUCAAGGUUUGACUCCCAACACUGUGGCUUUGGCCUGUGAGCAAGUCUCUGAAAGGUGCAGUUAAAAACGCAUCAGAGGCCAGAACCAACAUAACUGUGCUGUUGUGCUCCUGUCUCUCACCAAUUGAUUGUCCAUUUAUGUAAAGAUGUCUUGAAUUGAUGUGGGUUAAAGUCAUGUGAAAACUACUCAACAAAACAGAGGUGUGAUACCUUAUAUCACACUACGUUAUGAUACAAUAGGGAAGGAUAAUAUAUGACAUGAUACAAUAUGAUAUAUGAUACUGUCUUGGACUUAAAUACCAAGAUACAUGACUUGGUUUUCAUUGGUUAUUCACCUUCCAAGGCCAUCGAACUACCUCACAAACAUGGCCUAUGAACGGCCAGAAAGUAGUGCACCUUAAGAUAGCAACAUGGCACCUUUGCACCCAACCACAUCACGGGUAUGAAGUGAGUAAUUUUUUUCUUCACAGUUGUGGGCAUUAGCGUAAGAUUUAAGACUAUGCUCCAGUUACACUCUUAGCCCAGAAUCUUUAAAGCUUUUAAGUAGUUUUAAGUUUGUGUCAAUUGUGGCGCCUCCUGUGGACAAAACAAUCCACAGUCUACAAUCUACCUAAAACUAUCUCAUCUUGCUAACUCUUGAUGGCUAAAACAAUCAUUUGAUAAAUAUAUAUUUCACACCAGAAUUGUAAAAAUGGAACUGGUUCUUAAGCUGCAUAUCUAACACCUACACCCUCAAGGUCCUUACAUACCGGGAGUGUUUUUUUCAUGCGAUUAUUUCGGACGUCAAUUAUUUUUUUCAAACCUUUAUCCUGUCAACACAAGCGUCCACAACAGCGACGUUUUACCGUCCUGCGAUACUGCGGCAUUUAUUUUUUCGCAUUACGGUCUAAUUUUCUUGAGUUUUGCAUACCGUGUGUCCGCUUCUGACUAAUCAGAUUGCGUGUUGUUGCGAUGUCUGAUUCACUGGUAUAUCCAACAUGGCCGACCGGCUGAUUGUUUAUGUGUCGGAGAGUUUUUUUUGAUAAAAGACACAAAUAUUACAAGGAUAACGACCUGAAGGACAACUUGUGGAGAGUCAUAGUGUCGGAUUUCUCAUAUGACGAUGGUUUGUGUGCUUUAACAGUUUGCUAACGUCUUUGUUUUAACUUUCAUCUGUGCUAAGUAACUUUAGCGCGUAAGCUAACCUGUUCAGAUACAACAUACCAUAUGUAUUUUCACUGUCUCAAACUCAAUCACAGCGUUGCUGUCACAGCACCAUUAGGUCUCUGUUGUUACCUUACGUUUAUGGAUUAUAGUUUAAUGUGUUUAUCUGGUACUGGCCCCGACUCAGUACAUGCUAUCAUGACAGACAGUCAUCUCAACACUAGUGUCUAAUCAGAACUGAAAAACAGUCAGUCUGCUGUUGUGUCAGUCUUCUCGCUUCCAUCCGGGAUGCGUCUUGUUUCCCCCUGGAAAGUCGCAAAAUCGCAUUGCGCUUCAUGUGUAUAGUCAGUUGGUCAAAAUCCGCCUCUGAAUAUUUCGUAAUGUUGUGUCAUAUAUUUGCGUCAUUCCUGGUGUGUAAGGACCUUUACGCUGGUUCCAUGCACUAAAAAUGACCCACACAAAUAAUUAAUCUUAUUGAUGAUGGUCUUGUUUGCUUUUGGUUAUCAAAGGCAUCAUUAUUAAUUUUUGUGUAUUUAAUAAAAAACAAAAAACUCUUCAGAGUAUCUUUAAUGCCUACCGUUUGAAUUUUGUAGUUUAGUCUAAUCCAAUGCAACAUAUUCAAAUCUAAAAUGUAAGUUUAAUGUCAUCUAUUAUGGUCCAACAUGCAAAGUUAAUUAUGUGAAAUCCAAAUCUGAAGUGCACUUCAUAUCUCUGCUUCAUGUCCUGGCUUUCACAUGCACCGAAUGAGCCCAUAAAGAGAAGCCAUAAUCCUCUCAGCUCGUCUGAAGAGGCCUUCUCAUCAUAGGUGAGUCGUGCUCUGGAGAGCUUUUGUCAUCAUCCCGGUACUUUCCCAAUCAGCGGCCUAAAUCUAACCAUGCCAUUCAAUCAAACAACGACUGAUGUUUCAUUCAUCCAUCGAAUGCAACUGGCUAAUUUAAUGCUUUCAGACUGGGGAUGAGGAGAUGCUUUGAUUAGAUAUUCUGACCCAAACUUAAAGGCAGACUAAUGCAAGACCCCAAAAUGAAAGACAUGAAAUAAAUCAAGUCAAAGUUUAAAAAUAUAAAUUUGUGCUUUUAGUCUUCUUGCCUGUUUUCUUAAAUAUUAGAAAAGAUAAGAGCAACGUUGCCUUGGAGAUUUAUAGUGUUUACGGAUGUUUUUACUGCUGAAAGAGCCUUCAAAAGUGCUUUUAUUAAUGGAAAAGUUUCUAUCCAUUACAGUUACAUCUGCCACAUUUCGUAAAUCCACUUAUCAUGAAGCUACACACAUCGAGGACGUAUUUAGGUGUCAGGAUAAAGAGUUCUGGUGCACAGCAAUUAUGGCAAACAAAAUAUGGGGUCUCAAAAAAAAAAAAAAAAAAAGUUUACCAACUCUCAAUUGCUUAUCAGAUGUCACAAAGUUUUAACGGAUGCAAAAAAUUAUAGCUAAAAUGUUUAUUUUUGUCUGAUAUAAAACAUGGAGAGUAAAACUGUGAUGUUUAAAGCAGGUACUUAAAAAACUUUUUGGCUUUUCGCUGCAUUUUCUACACGCAUACAAAAGAAUGCAUGUGUGAGGCUGUUGCAUUACACCGGUAUCGACCAUAAAUGUCUUAAAAUAAAAUGAAUAAAAAAAUAAAUAUUGAUAUCAUGCAGAAAAUCAACACAUUUUGAUUUUAUAACAGCUUUCCUGAAACCUAAGCGAGAAGAAAUUUCAAAAUAAAAGCAUGACGAUUAUUUAACAUAGCAACAUUUUCUCUUAAGAACAUUUACCGUAUUUUCCGCACUAUAAGGCGCACUUAAAAUCCUUUCAUUUUCUCAAAAAUCCUCAGUGCGCCUUGUAAUCAGGUACGCCUUAUGUAGGAAUUCUGGUUGUGCUUACUGACCUCGAACUGAUUUUAUGUGGUACACAGCGCUCAAAAAUCUGUCAAAAUGUUUUGUUACGACUUCGGUAAGCUACGAACAGCCUGAUGACUUGUCGGAACACUUUGUUUGGCUUAAUGCGCUUUAUAGUCCGGUGCACCUUAUAUUUUGGUGCACCUUGUGUAUGAAAACAGACGUGAAUAGACGCGUUCAUUGAUGGUGCGCCGUAUAGUGCGAAAAAUACGGUAGUCACAAGGCUGAUAAUAAAACAUAAAUUCAACUUUUUUAGAAAUGGGUGAUGGUGUACCAGGUUAGUUUGUUACGUUAUGCGCUGCUCCACCCUUGUAUUACUUGUUUGUUGUAGUUGGCUUGGUUGUGCUUGUCUGUAAUUUACAAAAUCGUCCUAUCAUGUAAUAGAUAGAAAAUAUGAUAUAUUUGCUUUAUCCCUCGCCUCAAAGUCUCCCAAAGUAAACAUCCUCCCAUUUCAAUGUAAGCAGUUAACGUUUUCUUUAUAGUAUCUAUGAAUCGCUGUCUCUGAGCCGUUGCCGCCAAGAAAGCUCACUCAAAAUGACUCAAUUAAUGCACUGUUCGCUUGGCCAUAUUACAACAAGAGCAUUAGUGCUUUACGGGAGCUGGGAAGUAAAAAAAAAAAACUCCAUCAGUCAACACAUAUUGUGCUGAGAUUUUACUGUGUUGUUUUACAACGAUGGGAGAAUCACCGUUUAAACAGAUUGGGAAAAGCUGAUAGUGGAUGUUUAAGUGUUCUGUGGUCCAGGGUGUGGAAAGCGUGGGAUUCGUGUUAAACACACAAGAGCAGCCCACUGACACUCAGUACCAGCUAAGGUCUGAAGUCUAAAAGUUACACUCAUUUCCACGGGUAAUGUGAUAUAAAUGGGGAUAUGUAUAGCUUAUGUGUAUCGACAGUUUUUAGUGUAGUUGUAGGAGAGCACGGGGCCAAACAUAGUUACAGAGAUUAGAGCGAGUAAGCAAGGCAAAGUCAUUCAUCCACUCCCCCUCCGCCUGCGCUACAGCGUCUGGAUCGAUAAAAGGGAGAGCUGCAUCAGGCAAAACUAAUUGUGGAGGUGGAGGUCGGGCAGUUCGUCUAUUCUUUAAAGUGCUUUAAAAUGUGCAGUGAGCUUUCUGCACGGGGAGGGAGACCCCUUCAAAAAACACAAUGUACCCAAUGACUGUUUGAUUGCCUAUCUGCUGUGUCAGUGGAAAAUAAAAGGAUGGUCUGAAGCCAAAAUGAUUUCGAAGUUAUUUGACUCUUUUACAGCAGGUGGUGGCACAGCGGUUAGAACUGUCACUUCACAGGAUCCGGGCCCAUCCGAAGCACUUUCUGCAGGAGAUUUGAUUGCUCUCCCUGAACUCCUUCCUUCAUUUUAAAGUCUGAUUGAUCGAAAGCUGUGGGGACGAAUGCAAGUGUCUGGGUUGAAUUCCUCCUGAUGUACGCUGGAGCUGAUUCAAGCUUCUGUUUCGGCAAGGAUUUAUACAGCAAAGGAGUCUCUAAGCAAGACAUUGAAUGUCAGGAUGUGCUCCUGAUUUGUGACCCUUGCAAUAGUCUAUCAAAAAGUACAGCUGUGUCCACAUUGAGAUGGGUGGAAAAUUCAAAGCAAAAGAACAAAGGUGCUGUGUCACCGUGAUCCGACAAAACAGAACCACUGCUCCGUGAAAAAAGCUUUUACACGUCAGUGGACCGCUGCUGAAGGGAUGAACUUUAUCCUUUUGAAUCUAUUUACUAAUUUGAUGCUUUAAUUGUACAAAUAAUUACUCGCUCUGUUGUCUCUCUCACAUGAUGCAAAAACCUGACUUUAGGAGACAGUUUUUGGCUUUGCCACUAUGGAUUUUUCAAGCACAGGGUGACCAAAUGGGAGCGAAAGUAGAGAAAGAUGUUGCUACACAAUAUAUGUACAAAUUUUUACAUAUAAUCUCAAUGAAUUAUUAACAUCAAAGCUCGGUCUACCAAAAUUCUGCAACUACUAGAACGACCACGGGAGUCAUUUUGACUGUUCAGUCUUUAUUUGCACAUAAUUUGGAUAAUGAACAAUUAAAACUAUUAAUCAAUUAGUGGAAUAGAUAAAAACAAAUCAGUACACAAAAUGAAAAUCAUAAUGACUGAGAUUUUUAAGAACCUUCCUCAAAAUAACAAGACACAUCAUUCCCUGAACUUGCUCAUCCAUCGGACUCUUCCUCAUCAAGGCUCGAAAGCAAGGCUAAAGCCUCCAUACUUGUCAUUUUUCUUCUAGUUGUCGUUUUUGAGUCUUAUUCUCUUAUAAAAUCUUAGUCUUGGGAAAAUGAAGCAAACAGUGAAUUAUAACACCCUUUAUAAAAAGAAUGCAGUCAAAUAUACACACAUUUAGGAAAAGUCAGGGUGUGACCGGUAAAUAGGUAUAAAUGUGUUAUGACAGUUUAGUUAUGACAUUGUAAAUUUUGAAAGCAGUCAAAAUGGCUGCCUUGGUAGUUAGAGUGUUAAGGGCGCUCAGAAAGCUUGUGAAACCCUCAGAUGAGCUUACAUCUAAGAUUGAAGAGGAUGGCAGAUUGGCUAACUUGAGCUAAAAGCUAAAAGCGGCAAGUGAUGAUAAAAACAGAAUUGAUGCAGGGUUUCCCCGACAUGCAAUUGAUCGUGGCGGUGCGGAGUUCAGGGAGAGCAAUCAAAUCUCACAUAGUUCUACCUCGGACUCAUAUGUAUCAGCAGUGUUUCCCCUACAUUCAUUCAGCAGUGGCGCACCGCUGAAUGAUUCUACUCGCACUGUGUGAGCACAAUAACACACAACGUUAUUUCCGACUUGUUGUGAGUCAUCAAGGAGCGCAUCAAAUUCUGUCGGACCCUCUCUAUCAACGUGAAAGGUAACCAUCAAGCUCAUACAUGGUCUAUAUAGCGAGUAGCAUUAAUAGUAUCAGUAGCAUUAUUAUCAAUGCGGCACUUAUAAUUUCUACUCGUGCUGUGUGAGCACAACAAUACACGGUUAUUUUCCACUUGUUUUGAGUCUUUAAGGUGCGCAUCAAAUCCUGUCGGACCCUCUUCCACUAAUGUGAAGGGUAAAGUUUAAGCUUAUAUGCGGUCUAUAUAGUGAGUAGCGCGGGUAACGAAACGUGAAUGUAACAGCGUAGCUCCUGGAGCGGCAAGAGAGUGGGGAUAACGACGACCAAAUUACUCAAAACCUAUACUUAAUGGCAAAUAUUGGAAAGACAACAUUUUAAAAGUUGAAACAAAAAAAUCCCGUUUACAUUAAAGUUGGAAAAACACCAGUAAAUGACUUUGUAGAUGUUUUAAUGUGUUUUAAAAAAAUAACACCUCCUGAUAUAUGAGGUUAACUUGGCAGAGUGGGUCUUAAGUUUUUAUUAAUUCAGUUAUUUCCUCAUUUUGUAAUUUAGUUGUAUUUUCCUGUUGUCCAUGUUUCCCUGUGUAAAUUAUUCUUACAUUCCUUUUGUUUUUGUGCUUUUUUCCUGCUUGUUUUUAUAGAUCUGUUUCCUGUUGUAUUUUGUAGUAGUCAGUCCCUGUGUGUCAAGGCUAGCUCACCCUCCUUUGUUGAUUACUAACGAGCUUCACCUGUGUCUCGUCGACCUCACCUGCUGCUCGUUAAAGUCAGCAGCUUAAGACGGAAUGUUUUUGAUCUGGUAACGAGGAACAUGAACCAAAUGGUGCUCAGAAUUCCUCUGAAUGCAGUUUGACCCUGAACUCAUACAUGCAUUUUAAAACUGUACUGUUAGUAAACCACAUAAAAACCCUUGGCAAGAUGUGUAAAACAGUCCUGUGGUCCUUUUGGGAGUCAUGGAUGACGCUCUGCAGAAUUCAUAGGCCAUUAGUAUCACUGACUGGACUGCAUUAGAGCUAUGAAUAGAAAGCGGACUGUACGUGCCGUGGUUGACAUGAGCAUGACAUCCUGGAUAUCAUGAGUGACAUGUGGGCUUAUUGCUGGGAAUUCAGGCACACGCUCACGUGUAAGUUGGAGGGCUUGAGUUGUUCUAAGAAUAUCCUUAUCUUCAUGGCAAGAAAAUUCGAGAUGUUGAAUCCGGUCCACAUGACACCAACUUACACUGUUUGCAGUCAAGAAGCGAUCAAACCAAGUGCUGGAUCACAGAGCUGCUUGACUCAUCUCUCUAGUUGUACUAAAUGAGUGGCGACAGAUGCAGUAACUCAGCUUUUUGGCGAUUUCGAUUAUGACUGAUAAUUGGUAAAAUAAAGCAAUUGGAAAAAAGACCAGUCUGCAUUAAAAUGGGGGACUUGAUUCGCUUCCAAGUGAGUGGCAUGGCAUCAAUUUUCUCCACACAUGAAGGGGAAAUACGGGUAUAAAAUAUUGGCCCAAGGAGAGUCUUGCAAGUGUGUAAUAUUGCAAUGUUUGCUCAAAACAACUUUAAAAAAAAAGCACAAUCGUAACAAAACAAACAGGCCAUGGAUGUGAAAACAGCCUGAGAACUUGGAAACUGAUGGAUGACUGACUCUCAGUGGAACCAUUAUCCAUUAUUGCCAGCAGUGAACUCGUACUAUGCUAAUGAUGAGGGAAAUUUGUAGCGUCUUUACUGGCCUAAAUAGGGUUCACUAAAAAUGUUUGGGACCGCUUUUGUACUGACUAAAAGAAAGUCAAUACAUCCAGCUGAAAAGAAACAGGAGGGGGGUAGCAUCCUAGAAGGAUGCAAUGAGCUGGAAUGAGCACACUUAUGAAACAAGACUCUAAUGCUGGUUGAAUCCCCGGUGUAAGAGAAGCAGAAAUGUAAGCUUGCAUAAUAAGUUAACAUUAUGUCUUUCACAUCACUCGAGUUUGCAGGGUUCUUUUACAGCGUCUUCUCAAGCCUAGUGCCUCAUCUCCAGCUCUUGAUUUAAUCACGGGGAUUAUUGUGCAAUAAGUCUCGGGAUCAACUUAUUCUCAGGCAAUUUUCCAAUGACUAAUAAUACACAUAUCUGAGAGCGCACACGCUAUAAGAAGCACUGAAAAGCACCCAAUAAAGUCCAAUAAAAACCCUGCAAAUUACAUAACGUUGGAGGGAAUAUAGUGGGCUUUUGCAUGCAUGUAGUUAGUCUUUCAAUCCAAUCACAUCAAUUGGAUGUCACUGGAUGGUGGAAAAAUGGUUUAAUUAUCUGGAGGCGUUCAGUUUUCAUGGCCUUUUAAUCCUUAAAUUGAAUUUCUAGUAUUGAGACUCAAUUUGGUGUAUGUAAUUGCUGUUUCAUUAGACACUAACUGACCUGGCUUUGACUUGCAAAAUGGGCGAGAAUCAACAGUGAAAACAUCUUUGUUUUGUUUUUAAUGUAAAAGUGUGUAUUUGUGAGUGGAUAAAGAUAGAAAAAGGUCUUAGUUCAGGAAAUCCUAUUUGACGACGUAAUUUGCAUCGGAUGAGAGCCGCUAAUUAAAAACAAGCUGUUCUGAUCAACGAAAGGUUUCAUUCCAGCGGCUUUAAAUUCUCAGAUUUAAGACAAUAAAAAGGAUUUUACAGCCUCAUCAAAUCUUAGCAGGGGGAGAUUAGUCAGUAAAAUCGAAUAUGACUGAUAUGUCUUUAAAAGUACUCAUUUUUUACAAUUCAAUCAGCUGAACCGUUAAUGUCCUAAUCGAAAAGAAGGACUUGUAAAUCAAUCAUCUAGCACUAUCAAUCCUUUGAAUAUGAAUGCAAAAAGUACAGGACUUUUUAAGUGAUUCAGAAAAGAGAUAAAAUAGGAUAAUAAGAUCAAAUGUUCUGUUUCAAGAAUCAAUUUAAAAACUUUAUAGUCUCAAAAAAUUGAUUUAUCUUCCUUUAGAUUAUUCCCUCUUGCCUAGUUUUGGCGUUUUCUUCACUUAAAUGCGCAUUUUUGUUGUUUCAAACACAUCUUGUCGUGGUAGAAGAUAGUGGCGACGGCUUGGACCCAUUUUACCGCCAUCGGAGUGUACACAACUGAAGGUUAAAGCCAAUUUGAUAGCCUUCAAAUACAUGAUAUAAGAUCUUUUCCACCACAAAACUAGGGGCUAGCUUCAUGAAAAUAUUCUAGCUGACUUUUGCAAUAAGCUGAGAUGAGCAUAGCUGCUCCCUCUCUGGGGGUAAUCAACAAAUCUGUUUAGUCGCAAAAGGAAUGGAGAAACCGCGAGAACAUCCGAGGGGGGGCUCUUUCAAGACAUCAGAGACCCACCGCUAAGAGUUGGAUCUAUUUUUCUGUCUUAGCUGCCUUUGUUCUGCUACCACUCCCUUUCAACAUCAGACAGGACAGAGAUUUAAAACCUCUGGCAUGACUUUUUAUCAGGAAUGCCUUUUCGAUUUGCUGCAGAUCUCCUCCUCACCUGGUGCAGAGUGUCACAGAGAGGAAAAGUGAGAGUGAUCAUAAAUCCCACUGAUGACUUAUUUAACGGUAUGAUCUGCGGUCUUCUCCACAUUCAUGUAUAAGCCCUUUAGGCAUCUCUCAGAGGUGAUUUUUUUUUCCAAGUCUGGCCUCUGCACUCCUAUAUGAAGCAGAGAAAUAUAAAAUGCAUUACUGCGUACUUCCAGGCCCUUUGUUGCAGCCACCUACGCUACAGUACCUUGUCAAGUUGUUAUUGUAAGCCUUUGGAAUCUGACAGGAGCCUCUGGAGGACUCAUUUUCACUCAGAAAAAAAAAGCCACAAUUUGAGAUUAUGUAAGCAUGAAAGUUUUCACCGUGUGGUCUGACUUCCUUUCUGUCUGUGGCAAAAAUAGUUUGUAGAUAAUCGUAUCAUUUGCUUGUGUGGCAGGAGAAUGUCUCUAUUUACACAAUGGUAAGAUGUUUCAUUAAUAAUGUAGAAUUUCAAGGGAAUGAUAAGAUAUAACUCUUGAGUUUUAGACCACUUUUAGGAAGCAUUGUGGAGUUGAACCAUGCACGGUGAAUGGCAACAAACCCGUUUUAACUCUCAUAAUAUCCUCAUGAAAUAGCUUACAGCCUUGUCUGUUCUUGUAUCUCAUGGCCAUGGCAAAUAAAAUUCAACAGACUAUCUCAUUGUCAAAAUAACAAUAUUUAAUUCAUAGCUGGGUAGUGAAAAAGUUUGUUCCUGACAACUUGUUCCAGACUCCAUGCCAAACUGAAUGUACUUUUAUGAGGAGUAAAAUUUGGCUGACCUUGUUUGAAACCGAGAGUUGAAAAGCAUUAGCUGCACUGUGGUGGGAACAAUCUUUGAGAAGACAGCAGAAAUAUAAAAUGGGACAGGCUCAAAUGUACGCUAGAGUCAAAGUGCAGUUUACUUUGCAAAUUUAAAGUUUAACCAACACUGUGCAUUCAAAUGAGCUUUAAUCAAAGGCACAAAGCACAUUAGUUUUGAUUAAUCCCAUUCACAAAUCCCGUGGCGCAGCCAGUAGGGCCGGGUGGGGUCAAGUGUCGCGCCCAAGGACGCCUCCACAUGUGGAAAGCAAGACCUGGGAUUAAACCUCGACCUUUGAAUUGGGUGAUGAUUGACUAUACGACUGAAGCACAGAUAGGCCUGAAAGGUCCACAGUGACUACACUAGGGCCCGACCGACUGGGAACAGUUGGGAACAGCAACAGCAGCGCAGUUAAAUCUACUCGAUACUCCUAACCCUAGCUGUCAACGUCAGGUGUUGAAUAAGGGACCGUCAAUAAAUUACCGGUUGAUGUUCUCAAAACAUCUGUUUCUGUUUUCCUUUAACACCUCCAUGUCACGUGACAACUAGACCAAAACUUGAUUUCAAAUGAUAGUACUUAUUAGGGCCCGACCAAUUUAUCGGCAAGCCGAUUAAAUCGGCCCAUUUGAGACUAAUUGGUAAUCGGCCAAAACUUGCAGAUUUUCGUCGAUAUUUUCAGAAAUAAAAUGCGGAGAAUAAGAUUCGGUUUCACUUCGAAAAUGUUCCGCCAUUUGAAAAGUUCCCCGACUUAUCCUGUAGAUGGCGCAGCGACCUCAUGACAAUCGUCAUCCACUAACUACCUCACAGCAGAGUGACGGAUCUGAAGCAGACAGCUCAGGGACGCACGGAGGAGAGUGGUCCGCCUCAACGGUAAAUAAACCAGUUUGUGAAAUACACAAUAAGUCAACAGGUUUCAGUUCAACCCACUUCACGAUGUUCCCCGCUGUGCUGGUCUCGGUCACGCUGAGUUAACGAUGAAGCACCAUGUAAUAUGCAAGCUAAAGUUAGAGUUAGCCAUCUGCUAUUAGCCUUGCUACACUGUUAGCCGUGCCAGUAACAGUAGAAUAAACAG